This 50887-nucleotide long non-coding RNA is filed under the name Triticum aestivum (bread wheat). Its description in RNAcentral is "long non-coding RNA (TAES_LNC007382)". The record is from RNAcentral. Lineage: Eukaryota; Viridiplantae; Streptophyta; Magnoliopsida; Poales; Poaceae.
GAUUACUUCGUCAACCAGAUAUCAAACAAGGCUUCUGGUUUUGCCAGACUCUACUACUACCCUCCAUGUCCGAGGCCUGACCUAGUUUUGGGCCUCAGGCCUCACUCUGAUGGAAAUCUUCUUACUAUCCUUUUUGUCGACGACGAUGUUGGUGGCUUCACUCAUACAUACUAGUUGCCCUGAUUAUCCUAUCAUUCAGUAUGCAGAUGAUACUAUUUUAGUGGCGAACGCUGAUCAUAGACAGGUGCAGCAUAUCAAAAAUCUCCUGUCACAUUAUGCUCAUUACACAGGACUCAAAGUGAACUACGCAAAGUCUACAAUGAUCUCUAUUAACACUCCUCCUGAGAAGAUGAUUGAACUUUCUAGCAUUUUAGGAUGCAAGAUUGGUACUCUACCACUCAAUUAUCUGGGGCUCCCACUGUGUCUAUCUAUGCCUAAAGUUGAGGAUUUUGUUCCACUGCUCCAAAGGAUUGAGACAAGGCUACUUAGCUGUUCUACCAUGCUGUCCACUGGGGACAAAGUCACCCUCAUUAAAUCCAUCUUCACAAGUAUGCCCAAUUUUUUCAUGAGCACUCUGAUGAUACCCAAAACUGUUGUCAAACAAAUCAACACCUAUCUCAUGAAUUGCUUUUGGAGAAAAUAUGGUACCUUGGAUAGAGGCACUGUGCUCAUUGCCUGGGAUAAAGUUAACAGACCAAAAAACCAGGGUGGACUUGGGGUUCUAGAUCUCCACAUACAUAACAAGGCUCUGCUCCUGAAUUUUUUGCAUAAGUUCUUUAACAAAGCGUACACACCUUGGGUACAUAUCAUAUGGGAGAAACAUUAUCAGAAUAGGCUACCAGGGGAGCAGAAAGUUGGAUCUUUCUGGUGGAGAGAUGUACUGAAACUACUCCCACUGUUUAAGCAGCAUGCAAUCUGUAAAGCAGGUAUUGGAGAUUCAGUGAUCCUGUGGACAGAUCGAUGGCAAGAUGUUUCACUCUUCAAUAAAUUCCCAGAACUCCAUUCAUAUGCUACCAAUCAGACUAUCUCCUUGAAUAAUGCCCUUCAGCAUACAUACACCAGCCAACUCUUUCACAUGCCACUUUCACAACUAGCUUUUGAGAAAUUCACAUCAUUGCAAACGAUACUGACUGAGCAAGCUUCUGCUACCCAAAAUGAUAAAUGGUCAUACGCAUGGGCAUCACCCAAUUACUCAGCCAUGAAAAUGUACAAAGCUAUCAGAGAGGAGAACAUCGUACAUGUCAUUUUCAGAACUUUGUGGAAGUCAUCAUGCAGGCUACGACAUAAAAUCUUUUUCUGGCUGUUGCUGUGGGAUCAUCUGAGUACCAGAAACUAGGAGAUCCUUGCAUCUAGAUGACUAUAAUUGUGCCCUAUGUACAGAUGCCACAGAGGAAACAACUGUUCACCUGUUUUGGGACUGUCAAUUUGCUUUAACAUGUUGGCACUCCAUUAUUCCAACCAAGUCCAGAGGAAUAUCGAUAUAUGAUGAGAUUCAUCUUGCCAUGAGGCACCUUCAAUCAGACAUUGCUAUGGACAUCAUUAUUCAAGGAUGCUGGGCCAUCUGGAUGAGUAGAAAUGACAAAAUAUUCAGGAGAGCCGCCCCAUUAGUGGAGACUUGGAAGCAUUACUUGAAAGAAGGACUACAAGCUUUAGAACUCAGAGCUAAAUCAUCAAAGUCAGGAAAGAUCAGACUCUGGAUACAACAGUACUUGUAACUUAAUUAUGGGUUUUCCUAGAACUGGUAUUGGUUGAUUUGUACUUUCCUUGUAAUGGUACUUUUUAAUUAAUGAAAAUUUACCGUAGAACAUUGUUCUACGGUUUCGGCUAAAAAAAACGAUGUUGGUGGCUUGCAAGUUCAGAGAGAUGUUAAAUGGUACAAUGUUCCAGCCAAGCCUCACACACUGGUGAUCAACUUGGGAGACUGCCUGGAGGUUGGUACCUACACAUACAAGCUAGAUACGCACUUCCUCUCUUGAAUGGUCUAUAAUGAUCAGUGUUAUAUCCUAUUUCCUGAAUCCUAAUGUUUCAUUGACUCUUUUGUGAAAUUUUGGCGCAGAUAAUGAACAACGGAAUCUUUAGGAGCCCGGUUCACAGAGUGGUGACGAACACCGAGAAGGAGAGGCUUUUGCUUGCCAUGUUCUAUGCCGUGGAUGAAGAAAUAGUGCUGGAGCCAGCGCCCGGUUUGCUGGAUGACGAGCGACCUGCAAGAUAUAGGAAAAUGAUGACAAAGGAUUUCAUGGCUGGGCUCUUUGAACAUUUCCGUUAAGGGAAGAGAUUCAUCGACAGCCUGAAGAUAUAAAUUAUGCGUGUUGGUUUAUGGAGUUGUUGCUGUGAUUACCUAUAUGAAAUAAAGAGAUGGCCAUAUCCUCUGUGAGUGGGGGUUUUAUCGAUCAUUGUCAUAAGCAACUCAGUUUCGGUUUAUUUUUAAUUGUUUCCAACAGACGCAAAACUUUGCUCAUCUCACUAAUUAAGAAGAACGGUGUGCCAGUUACUUAGUGGAAACACAGCCACGUUGCACAUAAGUGUGUGGUCACUUCUCUUCGAGCAAGCUACUUCAACUUCACCGCAAAAGAUCACAGAUAAGACUCUCGCUGCAACAGCUGCGUGAUAUCACAUUAAGACGUGCCAAGCUAUCAGGCACAUACACUAUAUCGGCACACGGCAACUCCAAUUUUCAAGAAGGCAACAAUGAAAAAAAUUAUAAGCUCAAUGUUUUAAGGGCACUUCUAGGUGUCGGUCGACCGAUCCAACCACGUCGCCUCCCCCGCGGCACGAUGACUCCAGCAUGGGCCAUUGGAUGCCCCACCCUCGUCAUCCUUCCUACCACGCACGCCUGAGACAAAAAAAUUAUUUUCUCAAAUUUGACUUGUCAGUCACUUCCUUGAAUUUGAUCAAUGAUCCAGUUUUUGUGCAUACUUUCUUGUCAAUUUGCAGCUCAGCCUGGCCACUGACCAUUAGUGCUAUUGUUGAUCGUGUGAUAAAAGAGAAUUAUUGGUAGUACUCUACUCAGUCUCUCCGGAGGACGACACAAUUGAAAAUGUAUGGGUAUCAGCUCAGUCACAAUCUUUUUUUUUGUCGAAAUAGAGGCAUAAGCUUUGCAUCAUCCAUUAAUUAAGGGAAAAAUAGAGUUAAGGUUACAAACUGACACAAAGGCAUCAAAUGAAAAUAAAAAAAAGGCCACUACCCUCCCGACAUCAGUUGACCCACACGCUUAGCACUCGCGGUGAUCCAAAGCCUUGCUUCUUUUUUAAUCUCCUCCAUAAGAAUUGUCAUAGGGGCGGAUUUGUGUCGGAAGACCCUUGCAUUCAUCUUGUUCCAAAUAGUCCAACACAUAAGCAUGAUGAUAGAAGCCUUUGUUGGAACACACGGUACGCUAUGCUAGCACCAAAUAAAUUUUCUACCCCGCACCCAUGAUCAUGCUACUGGAAAUAGAUCACUAGAUCGGGUUUACCACUAGAUGCGCAUUCAGCGCAGCGGAAGUAGAGUUGGUGAUGUGUGUAGUCGUUCGGCCGAUCUCCAACAAACAGAUGUCCCGCGAACAACGAUCUCCUGGAUCCCUCGAACAACUCCUUGUGGUUCCCUCGAACGGUACGUCCAAGCACUACAUGUAGUGGUGGGCGCACAACAGAUGCCACGGGGUGGCUAAAGAGAGGGAUAGGCAAGAGGCAACCGGUGGGCUCCAGAGGCGAGGUUGGUACGAGCGAGCGGGAGACGCAAGACGUACCCAGGUUCGGGUCUCUCCGUAGAGAUAACACCCCUAGUCCUGCCGAGUGUGUUUUAUAUGAAGAUGGUACAAGCUUGCUCCUAGAGUUGUUUUGUGGAGGAAGGACGACAGGCCAGUGCAUAGGAUGUUCCCUCUCCGUGUGGUGGAUGUAAGUGUGUGUGUGUGUGUGUGUGUGUGUGUGUGGCUAAUGGAAUCGACCCUCUGCAUGGAAGAGCACCGGGGGGUCUUAUAGGCUGCCCCCCCCCCCCGGGUUAUAUCUUUUGAGCUUGAUAGUUUUUGCUCUAGUGCUUCACUUAUAUCUUUUAGAGCAUGACGGUGGUGUCUUAAUUUUGAAGAAAUUGCUAGUCUCUCAUGCUUCACUUAUAUUAUCUUGAGAGUCUUUUAGAACAGCAUGGUAUUUGCUAUUGUCAUAAAGUUGGUCCUAGAAUGAUGAGCAUCCAAGUUAGGUAUAAUUAAAACUAUCAUAGGAAGUGAAUUGGAUGCUAUGAUCAACUUGAUACUUGAUAAUUAUUUUGAGAUAUGGAGGUAGUUGAAUUUAAAGAAUGCUUGUGUUGAAGUUUGUGAUUCCCGUAGCAUGCACGUAUGGUGAACCGCUUUGUGAUGAAGUUGGAGCACAAUUUUAUUUAUUGGUUGUCUUCCUUAUGAGUGGCGGUCGGGGACGAGCGAUGGUCUUUUCCUACCAAUCUAUCGCCCUAGGAGCAUGCGCGUAGUGCUUUGGUUUUUGAUGACUUCUAAAUUUUUGCAAUAAGUACAUGAGUUCUCUUGAUUAAUGUUGAGUCCAUGGAUUAUACGCACCCUUUCACCCUUCCACCAUUGCUAGCCUCUCUUGUGCCGCGCAAUUUUCGCUGGUACCAUACACCCACCAUAUCCUUCCUCAAAACAGCCACCGUACCUACCUAUUAUGGCAUUUCCAUAGCCAUUCCGAGAUAUAUUGCCAUGCAACUUUUCACCGUUCCGUUCAUAUGACACACAUUACUUUUGUCAUAUUGCUCUUUGCAUGAUCAUGUAGUUGACAUCGUAUUUGUGGCAAGGCCACCUUCAUAAUUUUCAUACAUGUCGCUCUUGAUUCAUUGCAUAUCCCGGUACACCGCCGGAGGCAUUCAUAUAGAGUCAUAUCUUGUUCUAGCUUUGAGUUAUAAAUCCAUAAAAGUGUGAUGAUCUUCAUUAUUAGAGCAUUGUCCUCGUGAGGAAAGGAUGAUGAAGGCUAUGAUUCCCCCACAAGUCGGGAUGAGACUUUGGACUUUAUAAAAAAAAGAAAAAAAAGAAAGAAAAAAAGGGCAAAAAAAAGAAGAAGAAAGGCCAAAGAAAAAAAUAGGAAAAAAAUAUAAUGAGAGAAAAAGAGAGAAGGGAUAAUGCUACUAUCUCUUUUUCCACACUUGUGCUUCAAAAUAGCACCAUGAUCUUCAUGAUAGAGAGUCUCAUAUGUUGUCACUUUCAUAUACUAGUGAGAAUUUUUCAUUAUAGAACUUGGCUUGUAUAUUCCAAUGAUGGGCUUUCUCAAAAGUGCCCUAGGUCUUCGUGAGCAAACGAGUUGGAUGCACACCCACUUAGUUUCUUUUAUUGAGCUUUCAUAUAUUUAUAGCUCUAGUGCAUCCGUUGCAUGGCAAUCCCUACUCACUCACAUUGAUAUCUAUUAAUGGGCAUCUCCAUAGUCCGUUGAUACGCCUAGUUGAUGUGAGACUAUCUUUUCCUUUUUUGUCUUCUCCACAACCACCAUUCUAUUCCACAUAUAGUGCUAUGUCCAUGGCUCACGCUCAUGUAUUGCGUGAAAAUUGAAAAAGUUUGAGAUUAUUAAAGUAUGAAACAAUUGCUUGGCUUGUCAUCGGGGUUGUGCACAAUUAAAUACUUUGUGGGAUGAAGAUAGAGCAACAGCCAGACUAUUUGAUUUUGUAGGGAUAACUUUCUUUAGCCAUGUUAUUUUGAGAAGACAUGAUUACUUUGAUUAGUAUGCUUGAAGUAUUACUAUUUCUUAUGUCAAUAUUAACUUUUAUUUUGUAUUCAUUUGGAUUUGAACAUUCAUGCCACAAUGAAGAAAAUUACAUUAUGAAUUAUGCUAGGUAGCAUUCCACAUCAAAAAUUCUUUUUUAUCAUUUACCUACUCGAGGACGAGCAGGAAUUAAGCUUGGGGAUGCUUGAUAUGUCUCCAACGUAUCUAUAAUUUUUAAUUGUUUCAUGCUAUUAUAUUACCCCUUUUGGAUGUUUAUGGGCUUUAUUUUACACAUUUAUAUCAUUUUUAGGACUAACGUACUAACCGGAGGCCCAGCCCGUAUUGCUAUUUUUUUUUGCCUAUUUCAGUAUUUCGAAGAAAAGGAAUAUCAAACGGAGUCCAAACGGAAUGAAACCUUCGGGAGCGUGAUUUUUCGAACAAAUUUGAUCCGGAAAGCUUGGAGUGCAAGUCAAGAAGCAGCCAAGGCUCCCACGAGAUAGGAGGGUGCGCCCCCCUGUAGGGCGUGCCCUCCUGUCUCAUGGGCCCCUCGGGCGGCCACCGACGUACUUCUUCCUCCUAUAUAUACCUACGGACCCCGAAAACAUCCAUGAGCACCACGAAACACAAUUUCCACCGCCAUAACCUUUUGUAUUCGCGAGAUCCCAUCUUGGAGCCUUCUUCGGCACUCUGCCGGAGGGGGAAUCGACCAUGGAGGGCUUCUACAUCAACACCAUAGCCCCUUCGAUGAGUUGUGAGUAGUUUGCCACAAACCUACGGGUCCAUAAUUAUUAGCUAGAUGGCUUCUUCUCUCUUUUUGGAUCUCAAUACAAUGUUCUCCCCCUCUCUUGUGGAGAUCUAUUCGAUGUAAUCUCUUUUUGCGGUGUGUUUGUCGAGAUCCGAUGAAUUGCGGGUUUAUGAUCAAGUUUAUCUAUGAAUAAUAUUUGAAUCUUCUCUGAAUUCUUUUAUGUACGAUUGAGUUAUCUUUUCCAGUCUCUUCGAAUUAUCAGUUUGGUUUGGCCUACUAGAUUGAUCUUUCUUGCCAUGGGAGAAGUGUUUAGCUUUGGGUUCAAUCUUGCGGUGUUCUUACCCAAUGACAGAAAGUGUUGCAAGACACGUAUUGUAUUGUUGCCAUCGAGGAUAACAAGAUGGGGUUUAUAUCAUAUUGCAUGUGUUAUCCCUCUACAUCAUGUCAUCUUGCUUAAAGCGUUACUCUGUUCUUAUGAACUUAAUACUCUAGAUGCAGGCAACAGUCAGUCGAUGUGUGGAGUAAUAGUAGUAGAUGCAGGCAGGAGUCGGUCUACCUGUUAUGGACGUGAUGCCUAUAUAGAUGAUCAUGCCUAGAUAAUCUCAUAACUAUGCGCUUUUCUAUCAAUUGCUCGACAGUAAUUUGUUCACCCACCGUAAUACUUAUGCUAUCUCGAGAGAAGCCUCUAGUGAAACCUAUGGCCCCCGGGUCUAUCUCUUAUCGUAUUCGCUUUCAAUCUAUCUUUAUUUGCAUCUUUAAUUUUUGCAUCUAUAUCACAAAAUACCAAAAAUAUAUUAUUAUCUCUCUAUCAGAUCUCACUUUCGCAAGAGGCCGUGAAGGGAUUGACAACCCCUUCAUUACGUAGGUUGCGAGUUCCCAGUUUGUUUGUGUAGGUGCGUGGGACUUUUGAGGAGCCUCCUACUGGAUUGAUACCUUGGUUCUCAAAACUGAGAGAAAUACUUACGCUACACUUUGCUGUAUCACCCUCUCCUCUUCGAGGAAAACCAAUACAAACUCAAGACGUAGCAGUGGCCCGUAACAAAACAGUAAAAAGCCAACGCCCAAAAGAAAAAAAAACGGCAAUGCUCAUGCUAGUAUGAUUUUCUUCUUCCGAUGAGGGUUGCACUGGAAUUAGUUAUACCCCCCGCAAAAAAAGUCAGAACCGGGACCCAUUUCUUGAUCACUUUAGCUACUUUUCAGUUGCUUGAAAUUUUAUUUUAGGGUCAGUCCUUUUUUUCCACUGUCUUAUGCACUUGAUGAUCACUGCAACCGGCAUGCAACCGACGCACGCAAGCUUUCUUAAUUAGCAUGAGUACUAAUAGGCGGACCAAAAAUACUAAUCGGCAUGUUUCUUGGCUAGUGCCAGUUUAAAUUUAAAGAGAAAUUUUAUGGUGCCUUUGCUAUUUGAUAGUCGUCUAAAGAAAACAGGUUCAUGCUAAUAUUUUCUUUUUAUGUGUUUUUUCCUCUCUUUUGUCUUGAGUCGUUUUUUAUGCACUUUAGUUGUUGCCUGAAUUUUAAAUUUGGGUCAAUUGAUUUCUUUUGGCCUUUGAUUUUUGCUUUAUGAUUUGUGCUGUAUUUUCUUUUUUGCCUGUGCUACUUGUUGUAUUGGGCUUGUUUGUUUCGACUGAAACAUAUUUGGGUCAGUCGAUUGCCACUGGACCGAAGCCCGUUAAGAGUGCGAUCUAGCCUUCAUCUCUCUCCCUUUGUUUGUAUCUUUUGUGGGCAUUUUGCUUCAUUCUUUUAUUUCAGUUUUCUGCCUCUAUGCGUUUUUUCUCUCGUUCCUUUAUUAGUUAAUUUUUCUUAUUUUGUGGAUUGUUGGCCCUCCCCUCUACCCCUUUUUUAUUUUUUGUUAUUUUUUUUGCUUUGGUUUAUAUUUUUCUUUAUGGUCAGUUUGUUUUUCUUUUGUGGAAUUUUUGGAUAUUGGAUCAAUGUAAAUGUAUAAGCACAAAUACUAUAAGGUACAUGGAAAGAUUGCGCUAUUAUAUAAUUAUUAUUCUUUGCAUACUGUAAAAUGUGCAAUUUCAGUGCAAAGUGGCGUGCAAGUUUUUUUUCUUUCUUUUGAAAGGGUAAUACCAAUGUCAACAAUUCAUUUUAUAUAAACCUCAUUAUUUUGAUCUUUUCGUUAUUGUUUUAUUCUUCUUUAAGUUAAUAACAAUGCCACUAAUUCAUUUCUCCUUAGGAAACUUUUUUGUGAAAGUUUCACUAUUGUAUGCAUAUUGGAAAAAACGCAAUUUGUGUGUAUAUUUUGUGCAAAAUUUCUUAUUUUAGAUUUAUUUCUAUGUGUGUAAGUAUAAAUGCAAGUACUAAAUAAUAUGUGUGUAAAUUAUAGUAUAAUGUGAAAAAUGCACUAUUAUAUGCGUAUUCUUUGCAUAUUUCAAAAAAAUGCAAUUUCAGUGCAAGUUUUGAAAUGUUUUUCUUUUUUAUUUGUUUCUAAAGGAUUUCAUUUUUUAGAAAACGUCAUUAUUUUGAUUUUGUUUUAUUUUUUAUUUUGUUUGUUCUGAAAGGGUAAUACCAAUGCCAUGAAUUCAUUCUUCCGUAGAGAACUUUAUUUUUUUGAUAUUGCUUUAGUUUUUGUCUCAUUGUUUGAUUUUGUUUUAGUUUUCUUUUCUUUUGUAAGGAUAACACCGGUGUCACUAAUCCAUUACUUUUUAGAAAACACUUUUUUUGUGAAAAUCACACUAAUAUAUGCUCAUUUUUCUAUAAUUUCACUAUUAUAUUUUUCUAUAAUUUCACUAUUAUAUGCUCAUUUUUCUAUAAUUUCACUAUUAUAUUUUUCUAUAAUUUCACUAUUAUAUGCUCAUUUUUCUAAAUUUCACUAUAUUAUAACAGCAUACUAUAUCACCAAGCACACCUAUGUGGCUAUGUAUGGGCUCGUACUAUACUGUUACAUAUGGAGCUGCCUUGCAUGUAUGCAUGGGCUUGUAGGCAUCAAUUAAGUGGAUGUACUAAAUUGAUACGACAACAUCAUGGAGGGGAGUCGUCCUCGCAUGCAUUAGCUCUGACUGUGGCGUUAUUACUUGCUCCUAAUAGUCACGGCCUGAAGAAAUCGCAAAGAGACAAAAAGUGACUGUCCCAAAUAUGAUAUUCAGUCGUAUUGACAUGUAGUCAAUCCCUUACUUGAUCAAUUUCUCAUCACACACAACAAAAGAGUCUAUUCAGGGGGAGCACAAGGUCGUUGGGCACAACAGAGGUAACCAAUGGUGUUCAGUCACACAAGAUAGAACAAAUCAUCCCUAGGUCGUCAUAGAUAGAACAAAUCAUCACUAGUUUGUUAUGGCGAUCCGACAACCUGGUUCCCAUGAGAGCAACAUGAUACCUGCACCGUCAUGUUGAUGCUUCGGGCAGCGGGGGCAUCAUGAUGACGGCCAACAGGGCAAGGUACAUCUCAACCAGUGGCGGAGCUAGCCGAAGAUCACUUGGGGAAAAAACAAAAAUCUUCAGUGUUUGGGGAGGGGGGCAAAUGCUAAAACAAAGUCUAAUCUAAGCCUCCCUAAAUAUUUUUNNNNNNNNNNNNNNNNNNNNNNNNNNNNNNNNNNNNNNNNNNNNNNNNNNNNNNNNNNNNNNNNNNNNNNNNNNNNNNNNNNNNNNNNNNNNNNNNNNNNNNNNNNNNNNNNNNNNNNNNCCAACAUAGCUUCGUUAUUGAUCCCGACUACAGCUGCUUUUCCAUUCAACUCUUCGGCCUUGUUUUUGGCAAAUCGCUUGAUCUUGUCCUUCGUCGGUUGCGGCAGAGGCGAGCUGGCCGUGCCGGACGUAGGACGCGGGGGCACAGUAGAGGCGCCGGCCACUGCUUGUGGUGGCGGUGACGGAUGGCCGCCGACUGGAGGCGAGACGGCAGAUCCGCCGAUGGCGAGCGAUGGUGGUGACGGGAGAUAACGGCCUCCUGCCGGAGAAACCAGAAUGCACAUGACCAAGACAAGACGAGCAACUUCACCGUGCGGCCAUGGCGGUCUUAGCGGGAGGGGAGGGGAGGUGAGUGGAAGGGGGAGAGUACGCCGGUGAGGACUAAAUGGGACGUGUACAGCUGCCCUUCCAUUGUCGGGGGGAGGGGCAAGGGGAAGCGAAGAUAUCCGUGUUUCCAUUUUAAGGCGGGAAAAUGAAUUAUGAGUGACCGGCAGGUUGCAGGCUUGUGGCAGCUGGGUGUUUUGUUUUCGGGAUUUUCACAUGUGUGCCCCUAGUUCCUUAGCCAUACUCAUCCAUCCCCACGUUCUUAACGUUUUCUCACUUUUCCCCACUCUCUUGUCCGAAACCCUCAGAAAUGGUCACAAACGGUGGAUGUCGUCAGGUCAAUGCUUUGACCGUUAACUAUAACAAGUGGGGCCGCGCUAGACUGUGUCGCCCGUUGGACCAGACAAGUGGGGCGGCCUUGGACGGUGGCACUGUUCGACCAUUGGGUCGUGGUUUCGUUGGACUGUUGGGCCGUUGCAUGAAACGCCUGUGUGCGCCACCACGACAGAAGCCUGCAAUGCAUGCACGGCGUAUCCAGCUAGCCUGCUAUGCAUGCAUGGAGCUAGCCUACCUGCAUGCGCCGAUGCGUGCCGACCGAGCCGCUUUCGUGCACGCCAGCUACCACGGACGCAAGGACGGUCGCUACCUGCAUGCGCUGAUGCUUGUCUCCUCGAUCCACUCGCAUCUGCACCCGUUUUUCUAUGACAAAUAAAUUGAACAAUAUUUUAUUAUUAUUUUUGGUUGCAUGUACUAGGUAGCUACAUAUCUUAAUUCUUUGUGGCUUCCUCGACGAGGUGGUGGCUUUUGUAGCUAUGCAUGCACUAGGUGCUUACGAACAAAGCGAGCUCUCUCAAAAAACAAUCAAUAAUUCAAAAAAAAGUACAAACUAGCAAGAACUUAAUAAUGGGAUAGAUAGAAAACUUAAUAACAUAACAUAGGCCAACAAGCCCAGAGCGCGAUCAUAUAGUUCAAUUACAACUUAAUAACAUAACAUAGAUUCAAAAAAAAAGAAAAAAAGAUAGAGGGUUCUAAACCCUAGACGUCGGCUUCUCCACCUCGCUCCUCCGGGUGCGCUCCACUGCUCCUUCGGGCUGUUGUCGGUGGGGUACGGCAGAGUGUGCAUGUGCGACGCGGUGGGGAAGAUGUUGCUGUACUCCGUGAGGAUGUUGUGGGUGGUGAAAGCAAUGAACUCGUAGCCACACCAAAACACGCGCCCGAGGAGGUAGAAGGCAUCGAAGGGGUUUGUGAAGUGGGCAUGGAUAGCAACCACCACCCUGUUUUGGAUGACCUCCUCGACGCGGAACAUCCUUGGAGAUCCACGUGGGAGGUGGCGGUAGCCGGCCGUGAGGAAGAACUCGGUGAAGCCCCUUGCAGUCCUCCACCUUGAUAUCGCCCACACACAUAGUGUACACUCAACGUACACGCCGACAGUAUAGAGCCUCUCCGACACAGUGGGUGGGAAGCGGUAGGUUGGUCCAGUGUACUGCAUGGCUGAGGGGUGUGAAGAAGAAGGAGAAGGGGUCGAAGAAGUUGGGGUCGAAGAACAAGAAGGGCAAAUGGCAGAGGAUGGGAGAUAGAUGAGGGAUGUGAGACGAAGAAGAAGAUGAUGUGUGGCUUAAAUAGCCGUAGUGCGACGUGUUAUUUCGUCAUGGCAGUAAUGGGGACAAAUGUGAACUAGCUCGUUUGCACACCCACCGCGGCAUCAGGAACUCAAUCUCCGUAGGUGCAAUCAAAACAAGGGUCAAGCAAAAAAAAAUAGAGCCAAUGCGACGACCCAACCAGAGCUUGUUUUCAUUAUGUGCCCAAUAACUACGGUUUUUUUGCAGGCUCAAUGGUGGGCGAGCACAACCAAUAGGAGAUUAUCUCAUGGAUCGCCCCACGAUCCAACAAUACGGAGUGGUCCAUCUGAUCCAACGGCGCGGAGCCUGCACGCAACCAGCCCUUCUAGAAGACCACAUCUAAGGGUUGUCGCUAGGGUUAGCCAAAACCCCGCAGGAUUUAGAGUUGUUUUGAGCUGGUCAACGGGGCUAUCUAGGCUUUGACUGAGUAUAACCAAUUUUUAACUAAUAGAAAAAAUUUGAAACCUUCCCCGUUCGUCGUUUUAUAAGACACACUAACAAGGAAAAACACCAAACUUGGUAUACGAAAACUAUCAAAAAAAACCUAGGUGGCACGAUCGAGGUCAAAUGAGCACCAUUAAUUUAAAAUAAAAAUAAAAAUAUAUAAAACAUGCGCACAAUAUUGUCUUAUGUGACAUGUUACCAACUAAAAAUCAUAAACUUGGUCUAUGGACAUUUUCAUGAAAAAACCUUCACACAUAUGAGCUAUCACGUACAACAUUGCAGAGAGUUCAAGGAGAGGAGGUAGGGUUCCCUUAGGUUUUUAAAAAUUAAAAAAAUUAAAAAAUUUACCCGAGCUUGAUUUCAAAGUGAAUAAGAAGGAUCUGAACUUAGUUUUCCAUUUUCAUAUUUUAAACAUGUUUUUAGUUGUUUCCUAUUAAAGCAUAUUUUUUCAAAAACAAAAUGUAAAAAUAUGAAGAUUAAUUCAAUAAAUAGUGAGACUUCGAAUCUACACUAUAUAGAUUGAAUAGGUGUUAAUAAAAAAUAUUUGGCUCAUUUGGAGUAGGUCCAAAAAAACUUGAUUACAAAUGGAGCUCAUUUGGAGCAUAUUUCUCAUGACUAUAAGUUUUACCACGCAAAAGAGAUUAGAUUGGUCACCUAACGUUUAUAAUAAUUCAGCAAACUUUUCAACAUCACACCACAUGCAAUGGACUUCAAGUGUUGGUUCAAAUUCAAAUUUUGCCUCAAAUUCAAAUUAGAAUAUUUGAUCUGUUAUUGGAAUAUUUGAUCUGUUAUUGAAAUACUUGAUCAAAUGAUGGACUAUCUUCACUCAAAUGUUGUUUUUUGCUCUGUUAUUGGAAUAUUUGAUCAAAUGAUGGGCUAUUUGCUCUUUUUGCUUAUUCUUUGCAGCAUGUCUGAUCAGUGAAGCAACAUUGAAGCAGUAUGUGUGAUCAUUGCAGCACCUAAACUUAUAGCUCACACCAUCUAAACAUAACAUACCAUACAGCACAGGCAAAUUUAAGGACAGACAAAUAUAGAUAGCAUAAUAAAUUAAUACCAUAGAUCACACACAAAGUUUAGAUAGCAUGACACAAAGUUUACCAAACAGCCACAUUCAGUUUACCAAAAGUAAAAUAUAAAACAUCAUCACAUCACACCGGAGUCAGGGCCUUUGCGAGGGCAGCAUGCUGCCCCCUGAUCUUGUAGUCCUCCCUGCGAAUCGCUACAUCCUCUGCAUGAUACACAAGGUGAUCAAAGCGGCCAUCCUUUGGCUUUGGCUUGGUGGUGUAGUAGGGGCAGUGCCACUUCUUGAUCUUGCGGUUGUAGAAGGAAGCAACUCCCUUGGCCUUGAUCUUCUCCACCUCCUUCGUUGUGAAGGACGCGACAUUACCGUACACAUCUUCUCCAGAAUCUUAUUGCACACAUGAAUGAAUUACAUUAAUACAUUAUAGAUUCAUAUACACCAUGUCAAAGGAACUAAAUGAACAAUCUAAAUUUCAAGUAGGCUUACAUCAUAUUCUUCGUCGUCACUACACUCUGGAUCGUACGGGUCGAACCCAGUAAGGCCCAGCUUCCUUUUAUUCCCCACUGAAUCAUCCUCCUGAAUAUAUAAUUACAUCCAUUACUAGUAAAUACAAAAGCCAAUUGAUGUUAUAGAUAUGCACACAUGACACAUUGAUCAUAUUAUCCAUACUAUGUUCCUAUUUGCAUUUUCCAUUGCCAUGCUUACACAUUGAACAACAAAGCUAACAUAACUACAUAUUAUGGACAAAUUUAUAUACUGAUGAAUCAAGUAAGUUCUUAAUCAAUUGGUAGCUACACCAAAAUUAAUGCAUUCUAUUUGGGCAUAUGACAUUCAAAACACCAAUCUGUGUAGCAUUCAAAAGCAAAUCUAAGCAUACAUGUGUGUAGCAUUCAAAACCCCAAUCUGUGUAGCAUUCAAAAACAAAUUUAAUAAUCAUGUGUAGCAUUUAGGCACAGAGAUCUCUAUCUCUCAUUAAGAUAUGUCUAGCAUUUUUUGCAACGAAUGUAAUCCGAAAAACUCCCAUACAAAAAAUUCCCAUCCCCCCAUACAGAAAACCCCAUCCCUCAAACCAACUGCUCUAACCAUCUGUACUACCCUACCAAUCACAAUCCAACCAAUGAAACUAACUCUACAACCCAUCUAAAUAUUGCAACUAGGGUACAAGCAAAUGGAAGUACCUCAUGUACCACCUUCUCCUCGCAGGCAGCGCAUCUGGAUGGACUGCGCCGCUCGAUGCCGUCACCUUCUGCUCCGGCAGCGCUGAGGCGGAGCCCGCCACCUCCUUCUCCACAUCCACAGCCGCGACAACAGUUGCGAGUUACCUCACACCACCGUGGAUGCCUCCAACGUCCUGCACUACAUCUGUCACGGUCAUCGCGCCCCGUAAAUUUCCGACCGCUGUGCUAGCAUCGCCACGAGUGUCCGCCAUCGGUAUGAGGGAGGCGAUGAAGGCGAGGAAGAGGAUGCGGUGGGGGAGAGCGAGAUAGUGCGGUGGAGGAGAGCGAGACGACGCGGUACGGGAGAGGUAGACAAUGCGGCAGGGAGGGGAUUUGGAGGGAAAUGGUAGGGACGAGGUGGUUCCUCCUCUUAUACGAUGGGACGUUUUUGGCAUGUUCCAUGGACACGUGCUACCCCAUGACCACGGUCAGUUACAUGCACGCCUACAUGGCCUCACUAGUCAGAGUUAACAGUCAAGCCAUUGACCUGACAACAACGUUCAGUUUGCCCAUUUGUGAGAGUUUCAACCAAGGGAGUGGGGGAAUUGAGCAAAAGUUAAGAGCGUGGGGAUGAAUGAGUACAGCUAAGGAACCAGGGGCACAGAUGUAAAAAUCUCUUUGUUUUAUAGUGAAACUGAUUCCAGCGCAACACUUAUCUCUACUACUCCCUCCGUUCUCCAAAAAUGCUAGACUUACGGGAAUCCCACUACGGAGGCAAGUUACACGAUUGCAUGGCCUAAUCUCAUUGAUUUUCUCACCAUAAAACUAGCCGUGGGACCCAAAUCAUGAUGAAUCCUAGGUCUCCAACUCAUCUCGAUAGAAUUGCCCGUAGGUGUAGCAAACUUCGUUCCAAAAUAUAGUAUUUUUUAUUCCCGUGCUUCAACUUUGAUCAUAAAUUUAUGGCAUCAAGCCACUCUGGACCUUUUGGUACUGCGAGCAGCGCAUUCCAUCUCCACCUCCAUUGCUGCCGUGGCGCCGCCAACGACCAUUGUUCGUUGAGGUGGAUCUGGAAGAGGCACGACAAGAAGCCAAUGAAGGCAUACUUUAAUAUUAGGCACAAUCACGUUCAUGCGUUUAUUGCGCAAACCGUACAUUUCAUUAGCUGCACGGGCUGGAAAUCUCUGUAGCCAUGGUUAUGUGCGUUUGUGACUUUCUGUAUUUCAGUGAUAAGGGUCGACACUGCCGUCAAAUCCAUAAAGGCAUCAAGUGUAUUAUAUAGAGUCAUGUUCGCCUGUGUCUGUUUUCCAGAUGAUUCAGUCGACUCGUUUAGACGGAGAGGCACGGACGAGAAGCCCAUGGAGGCAUACUUCAGUAUUAGGCAGAGUCACGUUCGAGCGUUUACUACACAAACCGAGCACGAGAUAGACACUUAGGUUAGGUCUUCACUGCGCACGUACAAAAAACACAACAGCUUAACGGAGGAGGAGGAGAAGAUCUCAGAAAAAAAUGAGGAUGAGGCACAGUGCAAGGACAUAAUUGCAGAUGUCACCACUGGUGCGUGUUUUUUAAAAGCAUAGACUAGCACUCUCUGCAGCCACGGUUAUGUACGUUUGCGACUCUCUGUGUUUCAGUCAUUAGGUUCACAGGCACAGGCAUCAAAUCCACAAAGGCAUCGUGUGGUAUUAUAUAGAGUCAUAUUCGGUUGUGUUUGUGUUCCGAAUGAUUCAGUCAACUCGUUCAGACGGAGAGGCACGGACGAGAAGCCCAUGGAGGCAUACUUUAGUAUUAGGCAGAGUCACUGUCAUGUGUUUAUUGUGAGGCAAUGAGCGGCAGAUUCGAGAGACGCUAUUUUGAAGCGUUCAAAAGGCAUUGUCGAUGUUUAGCCCACGGAGCUGAACCUUUGUCUCACGAACAGCCACGGGCGUUUACUCUAUGAGGAUCGGAAUAGCCUAUGUGUCAGAUACACUGUAUUUAAAAUAUUAUUUCCAUGUAUUUAAAAGCACAGACGUGAACUACCUACGGACACGGUUCCGUAUUGACUUGUGUCACGCUUCUUUCUUGGUGUUAAGUAUAUUAUUUGAUAUAAAAGGCGUGGAUGUUUGUGGCUCUCUGUGUUUCAUUGUUUCAUAGUGAAGCACUGGCACAGUAAUUUGUGAAGCUAGCGAUGGCACGCUUUUAAACAAAGCAAAUGCAUAGUGGUUCCACGACAAGCACGUCUCGAUUUGCAGAAACAACACUGUCAGUGGUUCUACCGGACGCACAGUAUGUUUUCACCCAAACGUUCACCACAAAGUCUGACGAGACGCCAAUGGUGUAAGACCUGGCUUCGGCCGGCAUCGAGGAGCCGCCGAGCCGGUAGUUAGUGCACGAGCAAGACCGUCAUGGCGACCUGCUGGCUGCCAAUGAAAUGCCGGAGCCCAUCCCUCUCAUUGACCUUGGCCGGCUCAUGGACGCCGACGAGGCUGACAAGCUCCGGGCGGCUCUACAGACCUGGGGCUUCUUCCUGGUGAGCGAGCAUCUGUGUAUGUGUGCACCUUAAUUACUCUUCCCUCCGUUCACAACUAUAUGAUGUUCUAACCUUUUUGUGAAUUGGAUACAUAUAGGCAUGUUUAUGUUUUAGUGUGGUUGUUCACCCAUUUCAGGCCGAGUGUAGUCCAUAUUGAAAUAUUCAAAACAUCUUAUAUUUGUAACGAAGGGAGUACUAGCUUGUAAAGUUAUUGGACUCUUACUGAAACUGUUUAACUUGUCCAGGACACCAAUCAUGGGAUCAAGGAUUCUCUCAUGGAUGCAAUGAUGACCCCGUCAAGGGAGUUCUUCCGUCAACCGUCCGAAGAGAAGCAGAAAUGCAGCAAUCUGGUGGAUGGCAACGGCAAGCAUUACCAGGUGGAAGGGUAUGGCAGUGACAGAGUGGUUUCUGAGGAUGAGGGCCUGAACUGGAACGACCGGUUGCAUCUGAGAGUGGAGCCGGAAGACGAGAGGAAUUUCGCUAAGUGGCCCAGUCACCCAGAAUCUUUCAGGUUCCCUACUCCCUUACCUUGAGUGAUGUUUUUCACAUUUCUAAUACUGUAUUAGCUUAGUUGUAAAGGAAGGCAGAGUGAGAAUUCCAGAAAAGUAUCAAUGUAAACUGCACUCUGGGUAGUCAAUUGUUUCAUAGCAUUGCGCGUCUCUCUUGCUAGUGGGCCCGUAUUACCAUAUCAUUUCCUAGAAUUAAGUAAGGCUGAAAGUUAACUAAUUUUGAUACAAUUUUCCUUUGUGAAUGCAGACUUUUGAGAACUUCUCUUAAUUACGUUCCAAAUAGUCGAACACAUAAGCAUGAUGAUAGAAGCCUUUGUUGGAACACACGGUACGCUAUGCUAGCACCAAAUAAAUUUUCUACCCCGCGCCCAUGAUCAUGUACUUGAAAUAGAUCACUAGAUCGGGUUUACCACUAGAUGCGCACUCAACGCAGCGGAAGUAGAGUUGGUGAUGUGUGCAGUCGUUCGGCCGAUCUCCAACGAACAGAUGUCCCGCGAACAACGAUCUCCCGGAUCCCUCGAACGACUCCUUGUGGUUCCCUCGAACGGUACGUCCAAGCACUACAUGUAGUGGUGGGCGCACAACAGAUGCCACGGGGUAGCUAAAGAGAGGGAUAGGCAAGAGGCAACCGGUGGGCUCCAGAGGUGAGGUUGGUACGAGCGAGCGGGAGACGCAAGACGUACCCAGGUUCAGGUCUCUCCGUAGAGAUAACACCCCUAGUCCUGCCGAGUGUGGUUUACAUGAAGAUGGUACAAGCUUGCUCCUAGAGCUAUUUUGGGAAGGAAGGAAGGCAGGCCAGUGCAUAGGAUGUUCCCUCUCCGUGUGGUGGAUGUAAGUGUGUGUGUGUGUGUGUGUGUGUGUGUGUGUCUGUGUGUUUGUGUGUGUGUGUGUGUGUGUGGCUAAUGGAAUCGACCCUCUGCAUGGAAGAGCACCGGGGGGUCUUAUAGGCUGCCCCCCGGGGGUUACAAUGGUAAAGAUACAUAGACGUGGGGCUGGGUCGCCAGUGUCUUGGAGCCGGCAGCAGGGCGCCGGGUCCGUCGGACGCGGGUCUUGCCGGGUCCGUCGGGUACGGGCCGUACUAGGCCCGCCGGGCACGGGUACGGCCGACUUCUCAGUGCUGUAGGCAUGCUGGGUGGUCGUCAUGGGACGGCCACGCCGUCUUGCUACAGGGUUGCACCCCUGGGACACCACCCGCCCCAGGCGGGGGCUUGGUCGGCACGGCAACCGCGCCCGCCGGGGCCGGCGUAAAGGAGGGCGCACUGUAGCCAUGUUGGUUUGUCGAUGAAGGUUUGACUUGGUAGAGCCGGCUGGCUUGGGCCGGCCGUCUUGGCUGGGUUGCGGGACCCGGCCGGGUUGCACUAGGAAGUCGGCCAGGGGCAAGCCGGAUUGACGGGCAUUGCUAGCCCCAAUGUUUUUGAAAGGGAUCCGGGUUCCGUUGCCUCACCGGGGACCAUCCCCCCGAUAGUAGUCCCCGAAGUUGUGAAGGCUCAUUGGCUUCAAGCAGGGGGGGCCUUCGCAGUUUCACCCCCCUCAAGAGGCAGCUGGGUUGAUGAUGUUUGUGGCCGCCGGGUUCGGCAACACCCACUGUGUGCCGGCUUCUGGAAGUCGGCUCACGGGACCCCGUUGUGGGCGGGAAACUGAGAAGUCUGCUAAAUCUUGAAUGGGAGGGACGCGCCCUCCCGUGGCCCGGUGCGGGUGCCACGUGGUAAACAGCGGCCGGAGAGGCCCUGCUAGGCCACGCGCGCGACGGGACGUAGCAGCGAGUUGGGGCCCACCAUGUCGUGCCCUUGGCCCUCGUGCAAGGAUUGAUUGCGGCCACAACGGACGGUUACGCUUCUCGGGGUAGUUAAUUUGUGGGGGAAAUGUGCCCACACAAUGCGGGGAAGUGUAAAAGCGGGCGGAGCCGAUCCCACUUCCUCACGUAUGACCGCGGUUAUAAUAUCGAGGAAGGGGCAGUGGAAAUACUCACACAUGCACCCCUCGCCUCGUCCUACUUCUCUCUGCCCAACCUCUCAAGCUCGUCAUCGACCGGAUCACCAGGCGCCACCCGAAUCGCCCACCGGCCGCGCUAGCUCCUUCUUGCCGCCGAACUUUGCACUCUCGCUGAGCCCCACAGAUGGCACCGCCAAAGGGCUCGUGGGAGGGGUCCAUCAUCACCCACGCCCAUAUCCAGUACCUCCGCGACACUCGACGGCUGCCGUCAGCGAAGGAUGUGGAUGCCCGCGCGCCCGGAGAGGAGGUGGAGCCGCAUCCGCAAGCUGGCGAGUGUGUGGUCUUCUACAACCACUUCAAGCACGGGCUCGGCCUCCCCGCGAGCACCUUCUUCCGUGCUUUCCUCUCUUUCUUCGGGCUGCAGCCGCACCAUCUGUGAACACCGUGCUGCAGCUCCCUGGUUUCGUCACCCUCUACAAGGAUUACUUGGGGGUGGAAACAGAUGUGGAGCUCUGAAGCCGCCUCUUCUUCCUUAAGCAGUAGGGACCGGAGGCCGGGGCCAUGUCCGACUGCGGGGCUGCCAUCGUUUCGGUCCUGCCGCACGAGGUGUUCCCCAAGACGCCCAUCUAGGAUUCUGCCAAGAAGUGGUAGAAUACCUUCUUCUACGUGCGCAAGGUCGGCGGAGGAGCCGAUGCCAUCAACUUGCCCCCGUUCAUCAAUGAGAAGCCGCUCGCCAAGAUGAACUUGGGCUACAUGCCCAAGAACCCGUCGCAUGGGGAUGCAAAAUCUGUGCAGCCGGAUUGGGGAGAUGAUGGUGCAGGGGGGCUCAAGGGGACGGAACUUGUCGCCGCCUUCAUCGCGCGCUGGGUGCUUCCACUGUAACACCGGGCACACAUCAUCGGCCAGAUAGGUGACCGUCGGGAUCCCACCCUGAUGUCAUCUGGGAGGCUGCCGGUGGAGCAGGUCGCCGACCGGGUGCACGGCAUCUCCAAGGCCGGGUUGCCCCCGGACAGGCGCUUUGGGAAGGCGCCCUAGCGCAGAGUACCCGGUGACAGUGGUGAGUCCUUGGUCCCCCUUUUUCGCAAUGUCACAACUCUUCCACCAUCCUGAUGCGAUGAGGGAGGUGCUGCUGAAUGCAAUCUGGCAAACAUGUGACGGGACGAGGGCGCAGGUACUGGCCAUCGAGCAAGCCCGCUCGAAGGGGGCAGAAUCCUUUGCCGAGAACCCGGAGCAGGCCGACGCUAAAGCCAGCGAGGUGCGCCGCGCGGGUAAGUCUCCACACCAAGACCUCUUACGAGGUUGGUCGGAUGAUGAUGUGGAGGUUCUGACGCACGACGGUGGUGCAGUGCCAUCAGGGGGAGGGGACGACACCGUUGACCGCCCCAAGACGGCUGAGGAAGACAGUCGGUUCCGGGUCGUCCUGCGCGCCGGCCGCGGCAAGCCGGCCGCACGGGAAGGAUGACAUGGCGCCGAAGCUGGCCACGAAGCGCGCACUGGAGCGACCGGCCGCACGCGGCAAGACGGCCGCUAAGAGGGUGCGUCGGGUCAUCCCGCCGCCACCAACAAGGCAGGCCAUCCCAACGGCGAUCGGGUAAGUUUCCUUCACUGAUCUCUGCCAACUGCUUGGCCGCAUCUUUCUUAUAUUUUCUUCACAUGGCUCAGGACGCCUCUUGACUUGGUGUUGGCCACGACGACGUCGCAUCCGGAGGUGGCUUCUCGUACCGGAGGACCCGGAGCAACGCCAUUGACCGGGAUGAGCACAUGUCUAAGGACACUAGUAGAAAACAGGGCUUUGGUUCACCCAGAAAAGAGCAUUAAUCCCGGUUGCAUUACAAACCGGGACUAAUGUGAGCAUUAGUCCCGGUUCAAAUGGGACCUUUAGUCCCAGUUGGUGCCACGAACCAGGACUAAAGGGUGUGAUGCCCAUUAGUACCGGUUCGUGCACCAACCGGUACUAAAGGUUAGACCUUUAGUCCCGGUUCAAGCCACCAACCGGUACUAAUGGGGUUUGAGGCAUUAGUACCGGUUCGUGGCACGAACCGGUACUAAAGGUCCCAUUUUCAAACUCUACCCCCCCGGUGGAUCGCCUUUUCAAUUUUGUAAAAAGCAAAAGAAAAUGAUAAAAACUUCAGAAAUUAAAAUCCUUCCAAAUGUAGUUAUGUUACUACAUGUACUAGUUAGGAAAAUUUAAAAACUUAAAUUUGGACAUGUUUUGCAAAAAAAUGUAGGGAAAAUAUAAAACAGUUAUAACUUUUGCAUACGAUGUCACAAAAAACGUAUAAUAUAUCAAAAUGUUCAGCAUGAAAAUCCGCAUCCGAUUUUGAUGGCCUACGGCCUGUUUGGAAAUUUUUAGAAUCCUCAAAUUCUAAAAGGAAAAAAAAGUUAUGCUCAAAUUUCAGUUUUUUGAAUUUUCGUUAAAUCUGGUCAAACUACUUAUUCAAGAAGUAUUAGUAUUACUAAAUAACUAUUCAAGAAGUAUUAGUGUUACUAAAUAAUUUUAAAAGAAUAUUAGUGUUAUUAAAUAAUUAUUUCAAUUUUUUUGAAUUUUGGUCAAAUCUGGUCAAACUAUGCUCAAAGUAUGGUCAAACAAUGGUCAAACUACUUAUUCAAGAAAUAUUAGUGUUACUAAAUAAUUAUUUCAGUUUUUUUGAAUUUUGGCCAAAUCUGGUCAAACUGUAGUCAAACUACUUAUUCAGGAAAUAUUAGUGUCACUAAAUAAUUAUUGUUUUUAAGAACAAUAGUUUCAAACUCAAAUAGUGAAAUGUGUGACUUCAUGCUCAAGCUAAAUUCCUGAGGGUUAAUAGGAUUGAUAUCUUACUAUUGUCAGGAAAACAACAAGUGCAGACUUGGAAACGAGGGAGAAUAGAAUCCGGAAGUUAAGCGUGCUCAGGCUAGGGUAGUGAGAGGAUGGGUGACUCUCCGGAAGUUAGAUGAUUUGGAAUGAUGAUGGGUGAUUAGAGAUUAGAUUGGAAAGUAAUUCAAAAAUUUGAAAAAUCAAUUUUUUUAAAAACAAAUCCAUUUUUUUAUAAAAGAAAUUCAAAAAAAAUUAAGAGUUGACCAAUAUGAUACUCAUACUGAAACUUGAUAUGGUCAUGAAAGAGUCUUUGGUGAUAUAAUAUUAAAGCAAUGAAGGGAAAUUAAGAGUUUAUUGUGGCUUUCAAGAAACCAAGAUGGGGCAUGAAGUAAAGAUGUUGGUUAACCAAGAGAAAGCAAACUCUCGUGGGGAGGACGACGCCCAGGGAAUCGAACGGCAGAGGACACGCAAAUUGAACGGCUGGGGGCCGGCGCCUAGCAGUGGCCCGUAACAAAAUAGUAAAAAGCCAACCCCCCAAAAAACAGCAAUGCUCAUGCUAGUAUGAUUAUCUUCCUCUGAUGAGCGGUGCACUGGAAUCAGUUGUGCCCCCCGCAAAAAAAGUCAGAGCCGGGACCCAUUUCUUGAUCACUUUAGCUACUUUCAGUCGGCCGAAAAUUUAUUUUAGGGUCUGUCCUUUUUUUUCCCACUUUCUUAUGCACUUGAUGAGCACUGCAACGGGCAUGCAGCCGAUGCACACAAUCUUUCUUAAUUAGCAUGAGUACUAAUAGGCAGACCAAAAAUACUAAUCGGCAUGUUUCUUGGCUAGUGCCAGUUUAAAUUUAAAGAGAAAAUUUAUGGUGCCUUUGCUAUUUUAUAGUCGUCUAAAGAAUUGGCAAGUGGGCUUAUGCUUUGAUUGAAUAUGAUUUGGCUUAUGAAUCUCUAAAAUCCAUGAAAGGCCAAAUUGUUGCUAAUUUCAUUAUUGAAUAUCGGAUUGAUGACAAGCAUGAUGUUGAUAUGAACCUUGUUUCAUUAGUACCAUGGAGAUUAUACUUUGAUGGUUCAGUUUGUAGCAAUGGUCAAGGUGUUGGUAUUGUUUAUAUAUCUCCUCAUGGUGCUAUUUUUGAAGCCUCAUGCCGCUUAGAAUAUUUUUGCACAAACAAUCAAGCCGAAUAUGAAGCAUUGUUAUUCGGCCUAGAGAUGUUACUUGCUAUAGGUGUUACACAUAUUGAGGCUUACGGUGAUUCGUUACUAGUGGUGCAGCAAAUAUCCAGAGUCUUUCAGUGUUUGGACGAAUCACUUAAUGUUUAUCUUUGAUAAAUGUCUAGAUAUAAUUUCUACUUUGGAUUGUUUUAGCAUUGCACAUAUAUCUAGACAUGACAAUUAGAAAGCAAAUGAGUUGGCACAGCAAGCAUCUGGAUAUCAUGUUGAUCAUGGCAUGUUUCAUAUCUCUCAAAGACCGAUGUCUUGUCUUGCCAAUAUGGGAGAGGCCGAACCUGAACCCACUGAUUCGGCCAUUAACAAAAAAUCUAGUGCAGGUGAUAAUCCCAACUGGAGGAAGCCCAUUGUUGAUUACUUGUGCAAUCCGAGUGAAAGGGUGGACAGGGCUGUUCGGCGUAUGGCUUUCAAGUAUACAACGAGAGAUGAUGGUCUUUAUCGCCGAACAGUCGAUGAUGUUCUUCUAAAGUGUUUGGACGACGACCAGGCAAGAGUUGCUAUGGGAGAAGUACAUGAAGGUAUUUGUGGCACUCACUAGUCGGCUCCCAAGAUGAAAUGGUUAUUGCGACGUGCUGGGUUUUAUUGGCCGACUAUGAUUAAUGAUUGCUUUAGAUAUUAUAAAGGGUGUGAAGCUUAUCAAAAGUUUGGUGAUAUUCAAUUGGCUCCUGCUGCUAUGUUACAUCCUAUUAUCACACCGUGGCCUUUCAGAGGUUGGGGCUUAGAUUUCAUUGGACAAAUCCACCCGUCUUCCUCAAAAGGGCAUCGGUUCGUAUUGGUGGCAACUGAUUAUUUCACUAAAUGGUCUGAAGCAGUACCUCUCAAGAACAUGACACAUACGGAGGAAAUUCAGUUCAUAACCAAACACAUUAUUCGUAGAUUUAGUAUUCCUCAAACGUUAACUACGGAUCAAGGUUCAUCUUUUAUGUCGCACCAAGUCAUAGAGUUUGCCGAAUCUUAUAAUAUAAAGUUGCUCAAUUCCUCUCCGUAUUAUGCCCAAGCUAAUGGACAAGCCGAGUCUAGCAAUAAAAUUUUAAUCAAGCUCAUCAAGAAAAAGAUUGAGGAUAAUCCGAGGAGAUGGCAUGAGUUGUUGUCUGAAGCAUUAUGGGCACAUAGAAUUUCAAGGCAUGGUGCUACGAAGGUAACUCCAUAUGAGCUAAUAUAUGGUCAAGAGGUUGUUUUACCAGUGGAGGUAAAUUUGAAUGCUUUGAGAAUAGCCAAACAAAAUAAUUUAUCGACAAUAGGCUUUUAUAAUUUAAUGAUGGACAAUAUUGAUGAGGUUGCCGAUAAACGUUUGGCUGCUUUAAAGGCCAUAGAGAGAGAUAAGUUGAGGGUGGCAAGAGCUUACAAUAAGAAAGUCAAAUUGAAGAAUUCUCAAGUUGGUGAUCUCGUCUGGAAAGUGAUUCUGCCGAUUGGUUCAAGAGAUAGAAAAUUCGGGAAGUGGUCUCCAAGUUGGGAAGGUCCUUUUAGAUUACAAGAAUUAUUCCCGGAAAUUCAUAUUUGGUGGAAUCAAUACAAGGGGCAUUGUUACCUCGAGCUCUCAAUGGCAAAUAUUUGAAGAAGUACCACCCGAGUGUGUGGCAGGAAGCCUAAGUAGGUAAUGGCCGAUAUACGAUUAUCGCCCUUAGCACAAACAUGGCCGAUACAUAAUUAUCGCCCUGAGAAAAAUAAAUGGCCGAUGGAGUGUUGACAUCGUCCUUAGAAUGAACACCAUGCAUAUUAUUUUUCGGCGUGCAAGCUUUGCCGAAAAAUAGGGGGCAUGUGUUGACGCCUGAUUUUGGCAAGAUACAGAAUGAAAGGGUUUUCAGCAUGAUAAAGUUUCACAUCGUCGAGUGGAACGACUUUGAUGUUUAGGCUAUCGCCAUUCGACCUCAUCUCAGUGGCCGAAGCUGUACUCCGAGUGACAAAAUUUAGUGUUCUGAGUGCUUUUCGGCCGUUUACGCCCUCAAUAUGACCUCAGAUGAAGUAGUGCUUUAAAGGAGUUGUCUUCGUCUCGUCGAGACAAUCGAUUUUCAUAUAUAAAUCAUCUUAAUCCGAGUUCAUAUGCAAAAGUUACAGUCAAUACUGUUUGGACAGGCCAAAGACCAAAAUAUUACGCUUGACACCAGACACAUAUUGAUGAGUGUCUGAUGCAAUGCGUGAGCAAUUCGGACCUCAAGACGGACUUGAAUAGAAAAACCUUCAACACAGAAAGGUUUCGUCUCGUCGAGACGAUCGUUUUUCAUAUAUAAUUCGUCCCAAUCCGAGGUCGUAUGAGGCCUGGAGAGACAAAACAAGAUCAGGCUAUGUUUUCAGUCGGAAAAUCCGAGUGAAAAGCUUACCAUCCGAGUGAAAAGCUUACCAUCCGAGUGAAAACUUAUCGGUCGAGUGAAAGUUUUCCGUCCGAGUGAAAUUAUUAUCAUCCGAGUGAAAUUGUUACCGUCGGAAUGAAAACUUGCCGAUCGAGUAAGAGAUUGUCUUCCGAGUGAAAAUAUAAUCAUCCGAGUGAAAAGAUUACCGUCGGAAUAAAAACUUGCCGAUCGAGUAAAGAGAUUGCCUUCUGAGUAAAAAUAUGAUCAUCCGAGUGAAAAUUGUCUUCCGAGUGAAAGAUUCUAACAUCCGAGUGAAAAAGUCCAGUCGGACGAUCCAAGUGAAUGACUCUAAUCCGAGUGGAUGAUCCAAGUGAAUGACUCUAAUCCGAGUGGAUGAGCUCGAAUCCGAGUGAAACUGAACAUAUGCCCGGAAGUUUAUCAAGAUGACCUCGGAUGAAGAAGUGUUCAAUACAGAAGUUGUGCAUAUUAUCAAGAAGGUAAACUUUGGUUUUGGAGUCAUCAUCAUCAGAGAUAGUAUAUGGCCUACAAAUUUACUACGAGACUCGGAUAAUCCAGUCUACUGCAAGACCGAGUCCGACUAGAAGGUAAAGAUGACCUCGAAAAGUAUUCAAGAAAGCCUUAUUUGAAAAAGUGAUCAACAUGAGAGUUGUUUGUAUCAUCGAGGCGCACAAGUUUGAUAUUUGGGCCGUCUUGAUCAGAGAUCAUAUGCAAGCUCAGCGGCCCACGUAAGAAGGAAGACAGAGUUUGGGCCAGAUUCAGACUGAAUCCGAGUUGGAAUAGAAAUAGGACUCUAGGACGUGAAUUGAUGUAAUUUUUCUUGUAAGGAAAGCCUAGAUGAAUCCUUUACUUGUACGGGAAGUCCAGUCACCUCUUAUAUAUGUUGGGGGUGAUGGCCGAUUGAACAACACACAAUCGAACAAAUCAAUAUAUUGGUUUUUUCCUGUCUACGUUUUAUCUCUCCACCGUUUUUCUCUCUCGUUCUUCGCUAUUCUUCGUGUUUGAGAGCUGCGAAUCCUGAGGCUCUAGGGGCGAGCGAAUCGACCUAGGGCAGCCCAUAGCCGCCGCAAUCCCUGACGGGGUCCCUCCCGGGUGCGCGGGGUUUCGGGUCUGCAAAAGCGCCCACCGACUGUCUUGCGUAUCGCGCUGUCGGUCGGGUCUCCUUCGACGUGAGCUGCGGUGCAUCACCCCCGGCGUCGAGGGUACAUGUUACGUGUUCGUGUGUCAACACACUUUUUGGCGACUCCGCUAGGGAACGAAGAUCAAUCAUCAUCAUCCACCAUGUCCGAUCUUCCCAAGCCAUCUGAGGUAGACGCCGAUAACAUCAUUAAGCCCAGUCUUGAUGAGAUAUCGGCCGAUCAUCGCCAAGUCUAUGAGGAGUACAAGAAGGCGUGCGAGGAGAAGGACUUGCAGGAGUUCCUUGCAAAGUUCAAGAAGGAUCGCCAAGGCAACAUCACUCCGAUUGAAGAAAUCAAGUUCCCUCCUCUUCAAGCCGAGCAGGUUAAACCCUCUGUAAGUACUGCCUUUUCUCCUGAGCAGUGGGCUGAGAUUGAAAGUCGUAUUGCUGAUGGUAACAAUCUAGUCUAUCAAACUUUCAUAGAAAAUACUAAUGCUCAGAAGAACACAUCUCAAUCGUCUAGUGGUAAUGAUGGUGUAGCUGCUAGUGUGCAAAACCCUAACCUGGCUUUACCUAUUUCAUCGGCGCCUCCUAUGCCGAUGACUUAUUAUUCUACACAAGCAAAUCAGAUUAUAGCUGCACCAACUAAUCCUAUUUUGAGCAUGCCCGGUUCGGUGGCAACGCCGAACCCAACCCUACCUAUAGCUACAACCACUCGACCACUAGCAAAUUAUGGGUCGACAUACAUGCCAUAGUUCCUACCUACAACUAGUAGUCCUACUCCUCCUAUGCCACUACCACAAGUUUCAUCGUCCACUAUGGAUGAUGGUUUAGCUAAUCUUAGAGAGGAGAUGGCUAAGAUGCUUCGAGAGAAUUUUGGGGUUGAGUUACCUCGGAAUCGGAUUUACCAAAAGCCGUACCCCGAGUACUUUGAUGCCAUCCAGUGCCCUCCAGGAUAUGAAAUUCCAGAUUUUGUUAAGUUCAAUGGAGAGGGCACAAAAACCACAUGGGAGCAUGUUAGUCAAUACUUAGCACAACUAGGUGAAGCAGGCUCACUAAAUGAGUUGAAAGUGCGUUUAUUUCCUUUGUCAUUAACUGGUACCGCAUUUUCAUGGUUUUCUUCUUUACCACAUGGUUCCAUUCGAGUUUGGUUGCAGCUAGAGCAGAAAUUUCAUGAUCACUUUUAUAGCAGCGACAAUGAACUCAAGUUGUCACAUAUAACAUCGGUUAAACAGAAGCAUGGUGAAUCGGUCUCCGAUUAUGUCAAGAGAUUCAGAGAAACAAAAAACCGGUGUUUUAGUUUGGUGAUAACCGAGAGGGACUUGGCGGACCUAGUGCCGAGUGGUUUGAGAACUCCCAUUAGAGAAAAGCUAGAAGGCUAUGAGUUUUUAAAUAUCAACCAAGUCUUACAAAGGGCUUUGGCUCAGGAAAGCCGAAGCGAAGAUCUCAAAGAAGUGCAUAGAUACAAAGCCGAUCGUCCAAAGAUGAAUAUGGUGGAAUAUGAUAGUGAUCACUCGGACGAUGAGGGUGAUGUUUUUGCUACUGAAUUUGUUUGGCCAUCUAAGGUCAAACCCUUUACUUGCAAUGAUCUGAAACCAAUUCAUAAGAAUAGUGAUGAAGAGAUAAAGUUCACUUUUAACAUUGCUAAGUGUGAUAGAAUAUUUGAUGCUUUGCUGCAGGCUAAGAUUAUUAGAAUAUCUCAUACUUCACCGCCGUUUGAAGAGCUGAAACGGCGUGCUUAUUGCAAGUAUCAUAAUUCUUUUUCUCAUGCUACUAAUGAUUGCAAUGUUUUUCGACGACAGAUACAAUCGGCCAUUAAUGAUGGACGAUUGAACUUUUUUGAGAUGCAAGUUGAUAAACAACCCUUUCCAAUGAACACCAUGGAUUUAGAAGGGAAGAAGCUGCUCAUUCGGCCGAAGGUAGCCGAAUCUGCUAAUAAAGCUAAUGUCAUUAUUGGUGAGCCCAGGAAAGACAAGGAGGACAACAAAGUCUUGGGGAGACAUGUUGUGCUUGAUAAGCAACCCGAUGGCAAGGAAGUGAUCAAGAUCACCAUCAAGAAUCCUACACUCGGGGGGGCAAGCACAGGUGCAGCAGGACACUCGAGUUAAAUUUGUUAAGCCCAAGAGUCCUGAAGUUGGCAAGUGGAAGAUGAACAAAGCUAAAGUACAGCGCAAGCGGAUCAAGCCAACUUUUGAUAUGUUGAUGUCCAAAUAUGCUAAUCAGUCGGCUGGUUCCAGCUCUAACCGGCCAUCAUACUUGAAACGACCAAGCUCACCAUCAGAUGAUAUGUUUAGUCAGUAUAUGAACAAAGGCGUUGUUUCCAGAAGAGCAAAGGCAAACUGUUUGGAAUCGACUUGAAUACUCAUAUAAUGGCCGACUGAACAUCGGUAACUAUUGGUCGGCUGGUCAAAACAUGCGAACGGAUGGAAAUUAUCCGAGUGUAAGAAUGCACCCAGGUGGAAACUAUCCGAGUGAAAAAAUGAGGCCGAGUAGAUUCCAUCCGACUGAAUUCCAUCCGAGUGAUAUCCAUCCGAGUGGAUUCCAUCAGAGAAAAAGAUGCGCCCGAGUGGAAAUUGCAUGCAUCUGGAAAGUCGAAAAGAAUGGCAUGUUAAAUCACCAAGUGGUGCAGCAGUUGAGUCGGGAAAAGGCAAGGAGAAAAUGGACGCCGACUCACUUAUCUUGGGCACCAAAACAUUCGCCAUACAGCAGCCGAUUGUGCAUAGCAAUCCGACUGAGCCGAUACUUGCUAUCGCACCAAAGCACUCGGCUAAUGACCAUGAAGCAAGCACCAGCCAGGUAAAAACGAGAGAUCCUAAAUACACUCAGCCAAAGUGGUGUCCUCCAGGGCUAACGAAGACACAAAAGAGGAAACUACAGAGGUUAAGGAGUCAAGAGAUGGCAGAACAGGAGGCCGAGAAACAAAGGGAUACGUUGUUCAAUGACACUCGACCCAUGGUUCCAGCAAAACAAGUGUGGAGGCCCAAACAAAUACAAGAGGCAGUGACUUUUACACCAACCACAGCAGUACCUACAUUACCAAAAGAGGAUGACACAAUCAUUGCAUCGUCUAUGUUACCUAUUGCUUCCUCUUCACUCGGACAAAUUUCAGAAUCGGUGGAUGCACUCGAGAAGGAGGUUGAUAUGUUGGACUAUGAGUCUACGCCGGUUCAUGAAGGUAUGGAUAUCAAUAUGGUGUAUUACUUACCUGCUGAGUUUCGUGCUGUAGACGAGGAAUGGGAGGUGGCUUAGCUGGAUUUUUGCCCUAAAAAUGCAAUAUUCGAGAAGCCAAAAGAACCAGUAACGCAUCUGAAACCAUUAUAUCUCACAGGUCAUAUCAAUGGGUCGCCGCUCACUCGGAUGCUUGUGGAUGGAGGUGAUGUGGUAAAUCUUAUGCCCUAUUCGGUCUUCAAGAAAUUGGGUUUGCCUGAUGAAGAAUUGAUCAAGACCAAUAUGGUGCUCAACGAUUUUGAAGGCAAAGAGAAAACUAAAGCCAAAGGUGUAAUGUAUGUGGAGCUUACAUUCGGAAGCAAAACUUUGGCUACUGCAUUCUUUGUCGCUGAGGUGCAAGGUAACUACAACGUUAUACUAGGUCGUGAUUGGGUUCAUGCAAACCAGUGCGUGCCAUCCACUAUGCACCAGUUUUUGAUUCAGUGGGUUGAUGAUGAAGUGGAAGUCAUUCAUGCGGACAACUCGGUCUGUGUUGCUUUGGCCGAUGCAUCGGUGGAUUGGCAACAUCCCAAUGCUACUUGCUUGACGGGACGUGACUUAUCAGAGUUUGAUUUUCUCAGCGCGCCCAAGAAUGGUUUUGUGCCCGUGUCUUUAAAGCCGACUGAAUGCAAUCGGCUCCAAGGUAUGAUAUGUUUAAAUGGAUCCUAAUUCCGAGUGGUUACAAAAACGUCUUGUAAAAUAUCGGUCCAGUGAGGACGAUAUGUAUGAGUCUAUAGAGGAGUUGGAUGACAUGGAUAAACUUGGACAAGGUUUUACAUCGGCUAAUCCAUUAGAAGAGAUAGAUAUUGGAGAUGAUUCAGUCACUCGACCGACAUUUAUAAACAAAAAUUUGAAAGCUGAUUGUAAGGCUAAAUUAAUCGAGCUAUUGAAAGAAUAUGUUUGUCGCUUUGCGUGGGAAUAUCAUGAGAUGCCAGGUUUAAACCGAGAGCUAGUGGAGCAUCGGUUACCUAUAAAGGCCGGUUUUAGACCAUAUAAACAGUCGGCCAGAAAGUUUAAUCCGAAAACAUAUGACCGGAUCAAGGAAGAGAUCGGUCGACUGCUGGAAGCUAAUUUCAUUCGACCUUGCAGGUAUGCCGAGUGGAUUUCUAACAUUGUCCCAGUGGAGAAGAAGGGAUCCGGCAAGUUGAGGGUGUGCAUUGACUUCAGAGAUUUGAAUAGGGCUACACCCAAAGAUGAGUAUCCCAUGCCAAUAGCCGAUAUGCUUAUUAAUGAUGCUUCUGGACAUAAGGUUAUUAGCUUUCUAGAUGGUAAUGCCGGAUACAAUCAAAUUUUUAUGGCCGAAGAGGACAUGUACAAAACAGCUUUCCGAUGUCCUUGUUUCCUUGGUUUAUUCGAGUGGACAGUGAUGACAUUCGGAUUAAAUAAUGCUGGAGCCACAUAUCAAAGGGCUAUGAAUUUGAUUUUUCAUGAUUUACUCGCUAUCAUACUUGAAGUUUACAUUGAUGAUAUUGUUGUCAAAUUGGAUGCUUUUGAAUCUCACUUGGUCGAUUUGCGUUUAGCUUUUGAAAGAAUGAAAAAGUAUGGACUGAAGAUGAAUCCUUUGAAGUGUGCUUUCGGCGUGUCAGCUGGCAAGUUUUUGGGUUUCGUUAUUCAUGAAGAAGGCAUAGAGAUUGAUCCCAAAAAGAUAGAGGCUAUACAGAAAGUGGAGGCUCCAACAUGCAAGAGAGAUAUGCAAACAUUCAUUGGCAAGGUCAAUUAUUUGAGAAGGUUCAUAGCUAAUCUAUCAGGGAAAGUUGAUGCAUUUACUCCUAUCCUUCCGUUGAAGAAUGAUGUUGAUUUCACUUGGGGGGCAAAACAGCAAGAAGCAUUUGAUAUGAUCAAGAGAUAUUUGUGCACUCCUCCGGUGAUGAAAGCACCCAAGCAUAGGAAACCCUUCAGGCUUUACAUUGCAGCGGAGGAAGGAGUUAUUGGUGAUCUUUUGACUCAAGAAACCGAGAGAAAAGAGCAUGCUAUUACAUAUUUGAGCAGACGCUUAUUGGACGCCGAGACAAGGUAUACAAUUAUUGAGAAACUAUGUCUAUGCUUAUAUUAUGCUUGCACAAAAUUGAGACAUUAUUUAGUGCCGAGUGCUUGUAUAGUAGCUUUUCAAACCGAUGUUGCAUAGGCCAAUUCUUAGUGGUAGAAUUGGCAAGUGGGCUUAUGCUUCGAUUGAAUAUGAUUUGGCUUAUGAAUCUCUAAAAUCCAUGAAAGGCCAAAUUGUUGCUAAUUUCAUUGUUGAACAUCGGAUUGAUGACAAGCAUGAUGUUGAUAUGAACCUUGUUUCAUUAGUACCAUGGAGAUUAUACUUUGAUGGUUCAGUUUGUAGCAAUGGUCAAGGUGUUGGUAUUGUUUAUAUAUCUCCUCAUGGUGCUAUUUUUGAAGCCUCAUGCCGCUUAGAAUAUUUUUGCACAAACAAUCAAGCCAAAUAUGAAGCAUUGUUAUUCGGCCUAGAUAUGUUACUUGCUAUAGGUGUUACACAUAUUGAGGCUUACGGUGAUUCGUUACUAGUGGUGCAGCAAAUAUCCAGAGUCUUUCAGUGUUUGGACGAAUCACUUAAUGUUUAUCUUGAUAAAUGUCUAGAUAUAACUUCUACUUUGGAUUGUUUUAGCAUUGCACAUAUAUCUAGACAUGACAAUUGCAAAGCAAAUGAGUUGGCACAGCAAGCAUCUAGAUAUCAUGUUGAUCAUGGCAUGUUUCAUAUCUCUCAAAGACCGAUGUCUUGUCUUGCCAAUAUGGGAGAGGCUGAACCUGAACCCACUGAUUUGGCCAUUAACAAAAAAUCUAGUGUAGGUGAUAAUCCUGACUGGAGGAAGCCCAUUGUUGAUUACUUGUGCAAUCCGAGUGAAAGGGUGGACAGGGCUGUUCGGCGUAUGGCUUUCAAGUAUACAAUGAGAGAUGAUGGUCUUUAUCGCUGAACAGUCGAUGAUGUUCUUCUAAAGUGUUUGGACGAGGACCAGGCAAGAGUUGCUAUGGGAGAAGUACAUGAAGGUAUUUGUGGCACUCACCAGUCGGCUCCCAAGAUGAAAUGGUUAUUGCGACGUGCUGGGUUUUAUUGGCCGGCUAUGAUUAAUGAUUGCUUCAGAUAUUAUAAAGGGUGUGAAUCUUGUCAAAAGUUUGGUGAUAUUCAAUUGGCUCCUACUGCUAUGUUACAUCCUAUUAUCAAACCAUGGCCUUUCAGAGGUUGGGGUUUAGAUUUCAUUGGACAAAUCCACCCGUCUUCCUCAAAAGGGCAUCGGUUCGUAUUGGUGGCAACUGAUUAUUUCACUAAAUGGUCUGAAGCAGUACCUCUCAAGAACAUGACACAUACAAAGGUAAUUCAGUUCAUAACCGAACACAUUAUUCAUAGAUUCAGUAUUCCUCAAACGUUAACUACGGAUCAAGGUUCAUCUUUUAUGUCACACCAAGUCAGAGAGUUUGCCGAAUCUUAUAAUAUAAAGUUGCUCAAUUCCUCUCCGUAUUAUGCCCAAGCUAAUGGACAAGCCGAGUCUAGCAAUAAAAUUUUAAUCAAGCUCAUCAAGAAGAAGAUUGAGGAUAAUCUGAGGAGAUGGCAUGAGUUGUUGUCUGAAGCUUUAUGGGCACAUAGAAUUUCAAGGCAUGGUGCUACGAAGGUAACUCCAUAUGAGCUAGUAUAUGGUCAAGAGGCUGUUUUACCAGUGGAGGUAAAUUUGAAUGCUUUGAGAAUAGCCAAACAAAAUAAUUUAUCGGUAGUAGACUUUUAUAAUUUAAUGAUGGACAAUAUUGAUGAGGUUGCCGAUAAACGUUUGGCUGCCUUAAAGCCAUAGAAAGAGAUAAGUUGAGGGUGGCAAGAUCUUACAAUAUGAAAGUCAAAUUGAAGAAUUUUCAAGUUGGUGAUCUCGUCUGGAAAGUGAUUAUGCCGAUUGGUUCAAGAGAUAGAAAAUUCAGGAAGUGGUCUCCAAGUUGGGAAGGUCCUUUUAGGAUUACAAGAAUUAUUCUCAGAAAUUCGUAUUUGGUGGAAUCAAUACAAGGGGCAUUGUUACCUCGAGCUCUCAAUGGCAAAUAUUUGAAGAAGUACCACCCGAAUGUGUGGCAGGAAGCAUAAGUAGGCAAUGGCCGAUAUACGAUUAUCGCCCUUAGCACAAAUAUGGCCGAUACAUAAUUAUCACACUGAGAAAAAUAAAUGGCCGAUGGAGUGUUGACAUCGUCCUUAGAACGAACACCAUGCAUAUUAUUUUUCGGCAUGCAAGCUUUGCCGAAAAACAGGGGGCAUGUGUUGACGCCUGAUUUUGGCAAGAUACAGAGUGAAAGGGUUUUCAGCAUGAGAAAGUUUCACGUCGUCGAGUGGAACGACUUUGAUGUUUAGGCUAUCGCCAUUCGACCUCAUCUCAGUGGGCGAAGCUGUACUCCGAGUGACAAAAUUUAGUGUUCUGAGUGCUUUUUGGCUGUUUACGUCCUCAAUAUGACCUCAGAUGAAGGAGUGCUUUAAAGGAGUUGUCUUCGUCUCGUCGAGACGGUCGAUUUUUAUAUAUAAAUCAUCUUAAUCCAAGUUCAUAUGCAAAAGUUACAGUCAAUACUGUUUGGACAGGCCAAAGACCAAAAUAUUACGCUUGACACCAGACACAUGUUGAUGAGUGUCUGAUGCAAUGCGUGAGAAAUUCGGACCUCAAAACGGCCUUAAAUCGAAAAAUCUUCAACACAAAAAGGUUUCGUCUCGUCGAGCCAAUUGAUUUUCAUAUAUAAUUCGUCCCAAUCCGAGGUCGUAUGUGGCCUGGAGAGACAAAACAAGAUCAGGCUAUGUUUUCAGUCGGAAAAUCCGAGUGAAAAGCUUACCAUCCGAGUGAAAAGCCUACCAUCCCAGUGAAAGCUUACCAUCCGAGUGAAAACUUAUCGGUCGAGUGAAAGUUUUCCGUCCGAGUGAAAUUAUUAUCAUCCAAGUGAAAUUGUUACCGUCGGAAUGAAAACUUGCCGGUCGAGUAAGAGAUUGUCUUCCGAGUGAAAAUUUAAUCAUCCGAGUGAAAAGAUUACCGUCGGAAUAAAAACUUGCUGAUCGAGUAAAGAGAUUGCCUUAUGAGUAAAAAUAUGGUCAUCCAAGUGAAAAUUGUCUUCCGAGUGAAAGAUUCUAACAUCCGAGUGAAAAAGUCCAGUCGGACGAUCCAAGUGAAUGACUCGAAUCCGAGUGGAUGAGCUCGAAUCCGAGUGAAACUGAACAUAUGCCCGGAAGUUUAUCAAGAUGACCUCGGAUGAAGAAGUGUUCAAUAUAGAAGUUGUGCAUAUCAUCAAGAAGGUAAACUUUGGUUUUGGAGUCAUCAUCAUCAGAGAUAGUAUAUGGCCUACAAAUUUACUACGAGACUCGGAUAAUCCAGUCUACUGCAAGACCGAGUCCGACUGGAAGGUAAAGAUGACCUCGAAAAGUAUUCAAGAAAGCCUUAUUUGAAAAAGUGAUCAACAUGAGAGUUGUUUGUAUCGUCGAGGCGCACAAGUUUGAUAUUUGGGCCGUCUUGAUCAGAGAUCAUAUGCAAGCUCAGCGGCCCGCGUAAGAACGAAGACAGAGUUUGGCCAGAUUCAGACUGAAUCCGAGUUGAAAUAGAACUAGGACUCUAGGACGUGAAUUGAUGUAUUUUUUCUUGUAAGGAAAGCCUAGAUGAAUCCUUUACUUGUACGGGAAGUCCAGCCGCCUCUUCUAUAUGUUGGGUGUGACGGCCGAUUGAACAACACACAAUCGAACAAAUCAAUAUAUUACUUUUUCCUGUCUACGUUUUAUCUCUCCACCGUUUUUCUCUCUCGUUCUUCGCUGUUCUUCGUGUUUGAGCUGCGAAUCCUGGGGCUCUAGGGGCGAGCGAAUCGACAUAGGGUAGCCCAUAGCCGCCGCAAUCCCUGACGGGGUCCCUCCCGGGUGCGCGGGGUUUCGGGUCUGCAAAAGCACCCACCGACUGUCUUGCGUAUCGCGUUGUCGGUCGGGUCUCCUUCGACGUGAGCUGCAGUGCAUCACCCCCGGCGUCGAGGGUACACGUGACGUGUUCGUGUGUCAACACACUUUUUAGCCACCUAACGUUUAUAAUAAUUCAGCAAACUUUUCAACAUCACACCACAUGCAAUGGACUUCAAGUGUUGGUUCAAAUUCAAAUUUUCCCUCAAAUUCAAAUUAGAAUAUUUGAUCUGUUAUUGGAAUAUUUGAUCUGUUAUUGAAAUACUUGAUCAAAUGAUGGACUAUCUUCAUUCAAAUGUUGGUUUUUUGCUCUGUUAUUGAAAUAUUUGAUCAAAUGAUGGGCUAUUUGCUCUUUUUGCUUAUUCUUUGCAGCAUGUCUGAUCAGUGAAGCCACAUUGAAGCAGUAUGUGUGAUCAUUGCAGCACCUAAACUUAUAGCUCACAACAUCUAAACAUAACAUACCAUACAGCAUAGGCAAAUUUAAGGACAGACAAAUAUAGAUAGCAUAAUAAAUUAAUACCAUAGAUCACACACAAAGUUUAGAUACCACGACACAAAGUUUACCAAACAGCCAUAUUCAGUUUACCAAAAGUAAAAUACAAAACAUCAUCACAUCACACCGGAGUCAGGGCCUUUGCGAGGGCAGCAUGCUGCCCCCUGAUCUUGUAGUCCUUCCCGCGAAUCGCUACAUCCUCUGCAUGAGACACAAGGUGAUCGAAGCGGCCAUCCUUUGGCUUUGGCUUGGUGGUGUAGUAGGGUCAGUGCCACUUCUUGAUCUUGCGGUUGUAGAAGGAAGCAACUCCAUUGGCCUUGAUCUUCUCCACCUCCUUCGCUGUGAAGGACGCGACAUUACCGUUGUACACAUCUUCUCCAGAAUCUUAUUGCACACAUGAAUGAAUUACAUUAAUACAUUAUAGAUUCAUAUACACCAUGUCAAAGGAACUAAAUGAACAAUCUAAAUUUCAAGUAGGCUUACAUCAUAUUCUUCGUCGUCACUAUACUCUGGAUCAUACGGGUCGAACCCAGUAAGGCCCAGCUUCCUCUUAUUCCCCACUAAAUCAUCCUCCUGAAUAUAUAAUUACAUCCAUUACUAGUAAAUACAGAAGCCAACUGAUAAUUUAGAUAUGCACACAUGACACAUUGAUCAUAUUAUCCAUACUAUGAUCCUAUUUGCAUUUUCCAUUGCCAUGCUUACACAUUGAACAACAAAGCUAACAUAACUACAUAUUAUGGACAAAUUUAUAUACUGAUGAAUCAAGUAAGUUCUUAAUCAAUUGGUAGGUACAUCAAAAUUAAUGCAUUCUAUUUGGGCAUAUGACAUUCAAAACGCCAAUCUGUGUAGCAUUCAAAAGCAAAUCUAAGCAUACAUGUGUGUAGCAUUCAAAACCCCAAUCUGUGUAGCAUUCAAAAACAAAUCUAAUAAUCAUGUGUAGCAUUUAGGCAUAGAGAUCUCUAUCUCUCAUUAAGAUCUGUCUAGCAUUUUUGCAACGAAUGUAAUCCGAAAAACUCCCAUACAAAAAAUUCCCAUCCCCCCAUACAGAAAACCCCAUCCCUCAAACCAACUACUCUAACCGUCUAUACUACCCUACCAAUCACAAUCCAACCAAUGAAACUAACUCUACAACCCAUCUAAAUAUUGCAACUAGGGUACAAGCAAAUGGAAGUACCUCAUGUACCACCUUCUCCUCGUAGGCAGCGCAUCUAGAUGGACUGCGCCGCUCGAUGCCGUCACCUUCAUCUCUGAAAGCGCCGAGGCGGAGCCCGCCACCUCCUUCGACACAUCCACAGCCGCGACAAUGGUUGCGAGUUACCCUGCACCACCGUGGACGCCGCCAACGUCCUGCACUGCAUCUGUCGCGGUCAUCGCGCCCUGUAAAUCUCCGAUCGUUGCGCUAGCGUCGCCACGAGUGUCCGCCAUCGGUAUGAGGGAGGCGAUGAAGGCGAGGAAGAGGAUGCGGUGGGGUUGAGCGAGAUAGUGCGGUGGAGGAGAGCGAGACGACGCGGUACGGGAGAGGUAGACAAUGCGGCAGGGAGGGGAUUUGGAGGGAAAUGGUAGGGACGAGGUGGUUCCUCCUCUUAUACGAUGGGACGUUUCUGGCAUGUUGAAAGCACAAGUGCUCCCUAGGUGGUUUUGGUAAUUAAUGUCAACAUAUCUCUUGUUGGACUAACACUUUUACCUAGUACAUUUCAGACAAGUUCAACAAUGGAGUGGCAUGGACUAAAGGAUGUGGGAACUCCUUUAAGAUGCUAAGGACAAAGGAUUGGCUCAAGCUUCAAGCUCAAGACUCUUCAUUUUACAUUUUAGUGAUCCAAGAUCACAUUGAGUCUAUAGGAAAAGACAAUACUAUCAAGGAGGGAUGAGGUGUUGCUUAAUGAGCCUCUUGCUUCAAAGUGCUUAGUGAUAUGCUCCAAAAACCCUCAACUACUUUCCCAUUUCCACACAAAUGACCUAAAACCUAAAGUCGAACUCGGCCCCACUGAUUCUUCCUAUCCGGCGCCACCGAGUUUUGAUGUCUUAGCCACUGCCACAAAUCCUAGGCAAAUCGGUCUCACCGAUAGGGAUCUCGGUCUCACCGAGAUGGGAUUGUAAUCUCUCUGUGUAUGUCCAUUAUCAAAAUCGGUCUCACCGAGUUUGAGGAAUCGGUACUACCGAGAUUACAAUGCAAACUUUCUGGUUGACUUAUUAUCAAAAUCGGUCCCAUCGAGUUUGAUAAUCGGUCCAACCGAGUCUGCCUGACCAACUCUCUGGAAAGCUAAUUACCAAAAUCGGUCUCACCGAGUUUGUGUAAUUGGUCUUACCGAGAUUACGUUAUGCCCUAACCCUAACCGAAUCGGUCUCACCGAGUUGCAUUUCGGUCCCACCGAAAACCCUAAUGGUCACAUUAUUUGCUAAAUCGGUCUGACCGGGUUUAACAAUUCGGUCCCACCGAGUUUGGUAGAUUGUGUGUAACGGUUAGAUUUUGUGUGGAGGCUAUAUAUACCCCUCCACCUCCUCUUCAUUCGUGGAGAGAGCCAUCAGACUGAACCUACACUUCCAGCAUCCUAUUUCUGAGAGAGAAAUACCUACUCAUGUGUUGAGGCCAAGAUAUUCCAUUCCUACCAUAUGAAUCUUGAUCUCUAGCCUUCCCCAAGUUGCUUUCCACUCAAAUCUUCUCUCCACCAGAUCCAAAACCUAUGAGAGAGAGUUGAGUGUUGGGGAGACUAUCAUUUGAAGCACAAGAGCAAGGAGUUCAUCAUCAAUGCACCAUUUGUUACUUCUUGGAGAGUGGUGUCUCCUAGAUUGGCUAGGUGUCACUUGGGAGCCUCCGACAAGAUUGUGGAGUUGAACCAAGGAGUUUGUAAGGGCAAGGAGAUCGCCUACUUCGUGAAGAUCUACCGCUAGUGAGGCAAGUCCUUCGUGGGCGACGGCCAUGGUGGGAUAGACAAGGUUGCUUCUUCAUGGACCCUUCGUGGGUGGAGCCCUCCGUGGACUCGCGCAGCCGUUACCCUUCGUGGGUUGAAGUCUCCAUAAACGUGGAUGUACGAUAGCACCACCUAUUAGAACCACGCCAAAAACAUCUGUGUCUCCAAUUGUGUUUGAAUCCUCCAAUCCCUUCCCUUUACAUUCUUGCAAGUUGCAUGCUUUAUUUUCCGAUGCUCAUAUACUCUUGCAUGCUUGCUUGCUAUAUGUUGUGAAUGUUAAAGUUGUGCCUAAAGUCCACUUAAACUUUAAAGAAUCUUAAAAAUUGCAACUUUGGCUCAUAAUGUCUAAUCACCCCCCCCCCCUCUAGACACCUCUUCUCAAGGUCCUACAAGUGGUAUCAGAGCAUUGGUCUCCAUUGCUUUGGUUUAAUCACCAUUGGAGGAAGAUGGAUGAGUCUACUAUUGGGAGUCUUGGACAUAGAGUGCCUAUUCUUGAUGGAGAGUAUUUUCAUGAGUGCAAAAAUGAGAUGCUUGUUAUUUUCAAUCAAUAUCAUUUUAACAAGUACAUUGCUAGCCCUUGUGCACCUUAUGUUGACCCUAUGCAUCCAACCCAUGAUCAGUCAAUUGACAUGGUUAGGAAUCUUAGAACUGCCGAACUCAUCAUUAGAGGAUUGCCUAGAAACUUGACUGGAUGUUUGCCUACUUUCAAGUGUGCCUACACCAUAUGGAAAUUUCUUGAGGAACGAUUUCCAGGUUAUUCAUUGAAAAAUCUUGAUGAAAUUCUCCAUAAGUCUAUUGCUUUGAGUAAAAUGAAUACUAGUGAUCCUAUGUUUGGUAAUCGUCUAUUUGAGCUUACAAACCUUAUGCGUGCCAAAGGAAAUGUUGGUAUUAUCAGUGACAUUAUUUUCGAAGCUAUAAGAAUUCAUAGACAAGAUUAUUGUCAAACUCACUCUAACGAAUCACCCUCUCUAGGAUUUGAUCCACCACAUGACGAUGUUGAACAUGGAUACUAUGAUGAGGAUGAUGAUAGUGACUUCGAUCUUGAUGAUGCAAUGAGACAUUUUGGUCUUAUGGCAAAUCUUCGGGGAUAUAUGUCAGGAGGAAAGGAAUGGGUUCUUGAUAGUGGAUGUACUGAUCACAUGACCGGAUAUAAAGACAUGUUUCGUGAGCUUGCCGACAACGAUAGUCCUCGAAAGUAUGUCACUUUUGGUGACAACUCAAAGGGUAAGGUGGUUGGCCUUGGUAAGGUGGCCAUAUCACAUGAUAGCUCCAUACAAAAUGUCAUGCUCGUUGAAUCUCUUGGGUACAACUUACUUUCAGUAUCUAGACUUGCUGAUUUCGGUUUCAAUGUCCUAUUUACUGAAGUAGAUUGCCAAGUGUUUCAUCGAGACAAUCAUAAAAUGGUCUUUACCGGUGUGCGUAGAGGUGAUCUAUACAUUGUUGAUUUCACUAAAAAGGCUCAACCUAAAACAUGCUUCAUUGCUAAAUCCUCAAAAGGUUGGUUGUGGCAUAGACGAUUAGGUCAUGUUGGUAUGCAAAACCUUGACAAGCUUAUUAAAGGGAAUCAUAUCCUUGGAGUUAAUGAUGUCAUAUUUGAUAAGGAUAGACUUUGCAGUGCUUGUCAAGCAGGUAAACAGGUUGGAGGAAGGCAUCCUGUGAAGAACAUCAUGACCACAAGGAGGCAACUCGAGCUACUUCACAUGGAUCUCUUUGGUCCCAACUCUUACAAGAGUCUCGGUGGAAAUUCUUUUGGUCUAGUUAUAGUUGAUGAUUUUUCUAGAUUUACGUGGGUGUUCUUUCUCGAUGAUAAAUCGCAGGUUCAAAGAUCUUCAAAAACUUCGCUAGGAAGGCCCAAAACCAAUUUGAAGUGAAGAUCAAGAAGGUUCAGAGCGACAACGGAACGGAGUUCAAGAACGCAAAUGUGGACACCUUUCUUGACGAAGAAGGGAUUUCACACGAGUUCUCGGCUACGUACACACCUCAACAAAAUGGAGUUGUUGAGAGGAAGAACCGGACGCUCAUCAAAAUGGCGAGAAUGAUGCUUGAUGAGUACAAGACGCCGAAGCACUUUUGGGCAGAAGCGGUUGAGACAGCUUGUCAUGCAACAAAUCGCUUGUAUCUUCACAAGCUACUCGGCAAGACGGCAUAUGAGCUACUCACUGGUAACAAACUCCAAGUUGGAUACUUUCGAGUAUUCGGCUCAAAGUGUUACAUUCUUGAUAAGCAUCGUCGUUCUAAAUUUGCUCCUAAGUCUCAUGAAGGUUUCCUACUAGGUUAUGGCUCAAACUCUCACACUUACCGUGUCUACAACAAUUUCACCCGAAAGGUUGAAGAAACGGUAGAUGUGAAGUUUGAUGAAUCUAACGGCUCGCAAAUAGAGCAAUUGCCAAUUGAUGUAGGAGACAAAGAUCCUUCAGAAGCAAUCCAAGACUUGUCUAUUGGCAAGGUCCGUCCAACGGAGGUGAAGGAGAGUACCUCAUCCGUCCAAGUGGAAGCUUCUACUUCACGACAAGGUGAACCAAGAGUUGAUACGGAAGCAUCCACAAGUGGGACACACCAAGAUGAAGAAAACAAGGAAGUGCAUCAAGAUGAACGCCAACAACCUCCUUCUCCACCACGACAAGAGAACGACAACGCCAACAAUGAAGAAGGCCAAGAAGAAGAAGAACAAGAUGAAGAAGAUGUUCAACGAAGACCCAAGCAAAAGCUAUCACGAGUUCGAGCAAGAAUUGCUAAAGAUCAUCCCGUCGAGCAAAUCUACAAUGACAUUCAAACCGGGAGAAUCACUCGCUCUAAAACUCGUUUAGCUAACUUUUGUGAAAACUAUUCUUUCAUCUCUAGCAUUGAACCUAUGAAGGUUGAAGAAGCAUUGGAAGAUCCGGAUUGGAUAAAUGCUAUGCAUGAAGAGCUACACAACUUUGAGAGGAACCAAGUCUGGACAUUGGUUGAGAAGCCCGACAACAACCACAACGUCAUCGGUACCAAAUGGGUGUUUCGCAACAAGCAAGAUAAAGAUGGACAAGUAGUUCGCAACAAAGCACGUCUCGUCGCCCAAGGCUACACACAAGUUGAAGGUGUGGACUAUGGUGAGACUUACGCCCCCGUUGCUAGACUUGAGUCCAUUCGCAUCUUACUUGCCUAUGCUAAUCAUCAUGAUAUCACCUUGUACCAAAUGGACAUUAAAAGUGCUUUUCUAAAUGGUGAAAUAGAGGAGGAAGUUUAUGUUAAGCAACCUCCCGUCUUUGUCAAUCCUAAGAAACCCAAUCAUGUUUACAAACUUCACAAAGCUCUUUAUGGUCUUAAACAAGCUCCUAGAGCAUGGUAUAAAUGCUUGACCAAGUUCCUUAUUGGAAAAGGCUUUGAAAUUGGGAAAAUUGAUUCUACUCUUUUUACUAAAAGGGUUAAUGGUGAACUAUUUGUGUGCCAAAUUUAUGUUGAUGAUAUUAUAUUUGGUUCAACUAACCCUUAUUUUAGUGAAAAGUUUGGAAAGCUAAUGUCGGAGAAGUUUGAGAUGUCUAUGAUGAGUGAACUCAAAUUCUUUCUUGGUUUGCAAAUCAAGCAAACUAAGGAAGGUACUUUUGUCUCUCAAACAAAGUACACCAAGAACUUAUUCAAAAAGUUCAAUAUGAAAGAAUGCAAAGGUAUGACUACUCCAAUGCCUACUAGUGGACAUCUUGACUUGACCAAAGAUGAUGAACCGGUUGAUCAAAAGGUUUAUCGUUCUAUGAUUGUUCAUUGUUAUAUGUAUGUGCUUCUCGUCCCGAUAUUAUGCUAAGUGUGUGCAUGUGUGCACGAUAUCAAGCUGCUCCUAAAGAAUGUCAUCUUAAGGCCGUGAAAAGGAUAGUGAGAUACUUAAUCCAUACACCAAAUUUUGGCAUUUGGUAUUCUAAGAGGGCCUGUUUCGAUCUUGUUGGCUAUUCUGACUCGGACUAUGCCGGAGACAAGGUUGAUAGAAAGUCCACUUCGGGUACUUGUCAAUUUCUUGGUAGAUCUCUUGUGUCUUGGUCCUCCAAGAAACAAAACUCGGUAUCCUUAUCCACCGCCGAAGCUGAAUAUAUUGUCGCCGGUUCAUGUUGUGCUCAAUUACUUUGGAUGACCCAAACUCUUAAAGAUUAUGGGAUAUAUGUGAGACAUGUUCCAUUGCUUUGUGACAAUGAAAGUGCUAUCAAAAUUGGUCAUAAUCCUGUGCAACAUUCUCGAACUAAGCAUAUUGAAGUUCGUCAUCAUUUCAUUCGAGAUCAUGUUGCUAAGGGUGACAUUGAUCUUAAGCAUGUUCGCACCGAAAAGCAAUUAGCAGAUAUAUUCACUAAACCUCUUGAUGAGAAAGUGUUUUGCAGGUUAAGAGGAGAAUUGAACAUCAUUGAUGCUUCAAACUUGGAGUAGAAACUCCAUUGGAUACAUGCAAGACAUGAGCUUAUGACUAAUCCUUGAUAUUUCUCUUAUGAUAAAAAACUUAUGUCUUGGAUAUAUUGUAUCUUGCAUGUUAUCUAACCCAUGUAGGUACUUGGUUGAAUCAAAUUCCAUGAGGUUGAAACCUACUCAUAUCUUGAGCAAUCUCUACAUCACCAAGUCUCUACACAAGGUGGUUGAAGCCAAGGAAGCACAAAAUCAUUCAAACAUAUCCUUUGACAAAUUCUAUGUUGAGCUUCAUGAUUGUCAUUUUUGGAUACACAAGUGCUCUUUCUUGCAAGAUCUAACCCAUGUAGGUAGAUGGACUCAAAUUCCAAGUGGUGCUCCGAACUCUUGAUGAGCUACAUCAACCUUGAGCAACCCACACAAGUUCAACUACAUGGACAACACCACCAACCAAGGUAUGCUAUUCCAUCUUAGAGAAGCUUUACUCCAAGUCAUGGGUUAAAGCAACUCGACAGAUGUGAAUACAUCAAGAUGCUUAAACGAAAAAUGGCAACCCCAUUUUGAGCUUAAACGAUGAGUAUGACCCAUGAUCAAGUGAUCUCACUUGACUCCUAAGUCAAUUUACUCUAACAUAGGUGACUUUGUCACCGACCAUCUCUAGAUGAAGUUCUCUUGUGUUCUUUUCUGUCUUUUGCAUUUGUCUCUUGCAUAUGUGUUUCCCCUGUUUCAAAAAAAACUUCAUCUAUAUUUCUUUCUGUUUGCUCUGCAUUUUCUGCAUCAAAUUCCGUGCAUAUCAUUCAGUUAAUUCCUUGCAAAUCUUUGUGAGAUCUUACUAGUCUAAGUGAGCUUAGGUGACAAGUGUUUUCUCUGAUAUGAACUCGGUUUCACCGAUUUGUUAUUUUCGUCCCAACCGAAUCUUUUCGGUACGACCGAAGCAUACCACUCGGUGCCACCGAUUUCAUAACAGGAAAAACUAUUUGCCACAUAUUCUGUGUUUCUUCUGAUCCAGCUCCACUCAAUGAAUCUUGUCCUCUACAAGCAUCACAUUUUUAUCAUUGCUUUGUUCUGUGUCUCAAGGACCAAACCCAUUCAACAGAUUCCAGAAGACCCUUAUUGGAAAUUGAUGUCAAAGGGGGAGAGAGAGAACAUCAAAGCUUAUCAUUUGGAGAUAGAGAGAGAGCAUCAAAACUUAUCACCUUCCUUCUUCAGGGGGAGAGAGACCUUCUAGGGGGAGAGACCCUCAAAAGAAGAGAGAGAUCUCCAGGGGGAGAGGAUACUUAAGUAGAAAGUAUUUCUCAAGGAUCCCAGAUGCUUGGUGUUCAAGAGGAGAGAUGUCCACAUGUCUUCUUGAGGGGAGAGACAUGUUCAUAUGAUCUAUUGUGCUCAUUUUUGCAUUAGCAUACAUUAGCUCUGAACUUUAGCUCUGAUCAUCAUUCAUAUCUUUCAGCUCUGUUUUCCUUCAGCUCUGAUUUUCUGUUCCCUAUCUUCUCCUAGUAUCACAUGUUAGAUUCAGGGGGAGCAAGACAUCUAAGGGAAAGAGAUCAUUUAAAUUCAUUGCAUAUCUUUACUCUUGGGGACAUGUCUAAUCCAAUGUGGUACUCAGUACUCACUCUCUGCAUGUCAUCCCAGUCUUGGUAUUCUUGUGGUUUCUUCUGUUUGCUCUGGCUAGUAGAUGCAUCUGUGUUAUCUAACCUUGUUUUCACAGGUUCAUUCCAUCCUAAGCCAACUCAAGACCACAAGGUAAGUAUAUGCAUCACAAUCAUGUGUAUGAGGAAUUCUUGCUGAUGUACAUACUGUUUGCAAGAAGGACUCAUGGGCAUGAAGGUAUUCUCUUUAAUACUUUUUGCUCUGAUGCAUAUAGCCAAGAUACAUGUAACACAUUGCCUGCUCUAUCAUGGUUAUGCUAUCACAUGCUUCUAUAUUUCAUAUUCACAUGAUUGCAUACAUGUAGGGGGAGCCUAUGCUUGUUACAUGUCUUUCCAAAGCUUUACUUGCUAUUCUUUAUAUCUUUAUCUAAAGCUUUGAUGUAUGUUGCCAUCAAUUACCAAAAAGGGGGAGAUUGAAAGCACAAGUGCUCCCUAGGUGGUUUUGGUAAUUAAUGUCAACAUAUCUCUUGUUGGACUAACACUUUUACCUAGUACAUUUCAGACAAGUUCAACAAUGGAGUGGCAUGGACUAAAGGAUGUGGGAACUCCUUCAAGAUGCUAAGGACAAAGGAUUGGCUCAAGCUUCAAGCUCAAGACUCUUCAUUUUACAUUUUAGUGAUCCAAGAUCACAUUGAGUCUAUAGGAAAAGCCAAUAUUAUCAAGGAGGGAUGAGGUGUUGCUUAAUGAGCCUCUUGCUUCAAAGUGCUUAGUGAUAUGCUCCAAAAACCCUCAACUACUUUCCCAUUUCCACACAAAUGACCUAAAACCUAAAGUCGAACUCGGCCCCACUGAUUCUUCCUAUCCAGCGCCAUCGAGUUUUGAUGUCUUAGCCACUGCCACAAACCCUAGGCAAAUCGGUCUCACCGGUAGGGAUCUCGGUCUCACCGAGAUGGGAUUGUAAUCUCUCUGUGUAUGUCCAUUAUCAAAAUCGGUCUCACCGAGUUUGAGGAAUCGGUACUACCGAGAUUACAAUGCAAACUUUCUGGUUGACUUAUUAUCAAAAUUGGUCCCACCGAGUUUGAUAAUCGGUCCAACCGAGUUUGCCUGACCAACUCUCUGGAAAGCUAAUUACCAAAAUCGGUCUCACCGAGUUUGUGUAAUCGGUCUUACCAAGAUUACGUUAUGCCCUAACCCUAACCGAAUCGGUCUCACCGAGUUGCAUUUCGGUCCCACCGAAAACCCUAACGGUCACAUUAUUUGCUAAAUCGGUCUGACCGAGUCUAACAAUUUGGUCCCACCGAGUUUGGUAGAUUGUGUGUAACGGUUAGAUUUUGUGUGGAGGCUAUAUAUACCCCUCCACCUCCUAUUCAUUCAUGGAGAGAGCCAUCAGACUGAACCUACACUUCCAGCAUCCUAUUUCUGAGAGAGAACUACCUACUCAUGUGUUGAGGCCAAGAUAUUCCAUUCCUACCAUAUGAAUCUUGAUCUCUAGUCUUCCCCAAGUUGCUUUCCACUCAAAUAUUCUCUCCACUAGAUCCAAAACCUAUGAGAGAGAGUUGAGUGUUGGGGAGACUAUCAUUUGAAGCACAAGAGCAAGGAGUUCAUCAUCAAUGCACCAUUUGUUACUUCUUGGAGAGUGGUGUCUCCUAGAUUGGCUAGGUGUCACUUGGGAGCCUCCGACAAGAUUGUGGAGUUGAACCAAGGAGUUUGUAAGGGCAAGGAGAUCGCCUACUUCGUGAAGAUCUACCGCUAGUGAGGCAAGUCCUUCGUGGGCGACGGCCAUGAUGGGAUAGACAAAGUUGCUUCUUCGUGGACCCUUCGUGGGUGGAGCCCUCCGUGGACUCGCGCAGUCGUUACCCUUCGUGGGUUGAAGUCUCCAUCAACGUGGAUGUACGAUAGCACCACCUAUCGGAACCACACCAAAAACAUCUGUGUCUCCAAUUGCGUUUGAAUCCUCCAAUCCCUUCCCUUUACAUUCUUGCAAGUUGCAUGCUUUAUUUUCCGCUGCUCAUAUACUCUUGCAUGCUUGCUUGCUAUAUGUUGUGAAUGUUAAACUUGUGCCUAAACUCCACUUAAACUUUAAAGAAUCUUGAAAAUUAUAACUUUGGCUCUAAGUGUCUAAUCACCCCCCCCCCCUCUAGACACCUCUUCUCAAGGUCCUACACAUGUUCCAUGGACACGUGCUACCCCAUGACCGUGGUCAGUUACAUGCACGCCUACGUGGCCCCACUAGUCAGAGUUAACGGUCAAGCCAUUGACCUGACAACAACGUUCAGUUUGCCCAUUUGUGAGAGUUUCAACCAAGGGAGUGGGGGAAUUGAGCAAAAGUUAAGAGCGUGGGGAUGAAUGAGUACAGCUAAGGAACCAGGGGCACAGAUGUAAAAAUCUCUUUGUUUUAUAGUGAAACUGAUUCCAGCGCAACGCUUAUCUCUACUACUCCCUCCGUUCUCCAAAAAUGCUAGGCUUACGGGAAUCCCACUACGGAGGCAAGUUACACGAUUGCAUGGCCUAAUCUCAUUGAUUUUCUCACCAUAAAACUAGUCGUGGGACCCAAAUCGUGAUGAAUCCUAGGUCUCCAACUCAUCUCGAUAGAAAUUGCCCGUAGGUGUAGCAAACUUCGUUCCAAAAUAUAGUGUUUUUUUAUUCCCGUGCUUCAACUUUGAUCAUAAAUUUACGGCAUCGAGCCACUCUGGACCUUUUGGUACUGCGAGCAGCGCAUUCCAUCUCCACCUCCAUUGCUGCCGUGGCGCCGCCUACGACCAUUUUUCGGUGAGGUGGAUCUGGAAGAGGCACGACAAGAAGCCAAUGAAGGCAUACUUUAAUAUUAGGAAAAAUCACGUUCAUGCGUUUAUUGCGCAAACCGUACAUUUCAUUAGCUGCACGGGCUUGAAGUCUCUGCAGCCACGGUUAUGUGCGUUUGUGACUUUCUGUAUUUCAGUGAUAAGGGUCGUAGACACUACCGUCAAAUCCACAAAGGCAUCGUGUGGUAUUAUAUAGAGUCAUGUUCGCCUGUGUCUGUUUUCCGGAUGAUUCCGUUGGCUCAUUUAGACGGAGAGGCACGGACGAGAAGCCCAUGGAGGCAUACUUUAGUAUUACGCAGAGUCACGUUCGAGCGUUUACUGCACAAACCGAACACGAGAUAGACACUUAGGUUAGGUCUUCAUUGCGCACGUACAAAAAACACAACAGCUUAAUGGAGGAGGAGGAGAAGAUCUUAGAAAAAAAACGAGGAUGAGGCACAGUGCAAGGACAUAAUUGCAGAUGUCACCACUGGUGCGCGUUUUUUAAAAGCACGGGCUAGCACUCUCUGCAGCCACGGUUAUGUACGUUUGCGACUCUAUGUGUUUCAGUCAUUAGGUUCACAGGCACAGGCAUCAAAUCCACAAAGGCAUCGUGUGGUAUUAUAUAGAGUCAUGUUCGGUUGUGUUUGUGUUCCGAAUGAUUCAGUCGACUCGUUCAGACGGAGAGGCACGGACGAGAAGCCCAUGGAGGCAUACUUUAGUAUUAGGCACACCGUCAUGCGUUUAUUGCGAGGCAAUGAGCGGCAGACUCGAGAGACGCCGUUUUUGAAGCGUUCAAAAGGCAUGGUCGAUGUUUAGCCCACGGAGCUGAACCUUUGUCUCAGGUAAAAUAUUAUUUCCUUGUAUUUAAAAGCACGGACGUGAACUACCUACGGACACGGUUCCGUAUUGACUUGCGUCACGCUUCUUUCUUGGUGUUAAGUAUAUUAUUCGAUAUAAAAGGCGUGGACGUUCGUGGCUGUCUGUGUUUCAUUGUUUCAUAGUGAAGCACGGGCACGGUAAUUUGCGAAGCUAGCGAUGGCACGCUUUUAAACAAAGCACACGCAUAGUGGUUCCACGACAAGCACGUCUCGAUUUGCAGAAACAACACUAUCAGUGGUUCUACCGGACGCACAGUAUGUUUUCACCCAAACGUUCACCACAAAGUCCGACGAGACGCCGAUGGUGCAAGACCUGGCUUCGGCCGGCGUCGAGGAGCCGUCGAGCCGGUACUUAGUGCACGAGCAAGACCGUCAUGGCGACCUGCUGGCUGCUGACAAAAUGCCGGAGCACAUCCCUCUCAUUGACCUUAGCCGGCUCAUGGACGCCGACGAGGCUGACAAGCUCCGGGCGGCUCUACAGACCUGGGGCUUCUUCCUGGUGAGCGAGCAUCUAUGCAUGUGUGCACCUUAAUUACUCUUCCCUCCGUUCACAAGUAUAAGAUGUUCUAACCUUUUUGUGAAUUGGAUACAUAUAGGCAUGUUUAUGUUUUAGUGUGGUUGUUCAUCCAUUUCAGGCCGAGUGUAGUCCAUAUUAAAAUAUCCAAAACAUCUUAUAUUUGUAACGAAGGGAGUACUAGCUUGUAAAGUUAUUGGACUCUUACUGAAACUGUUUAACUUGUCCAGGCCACCAAUCAUGGGAUCGAGGAUUCUCUCAUGGAUGCAAUGAUGACCGCGUCAAGGGAGUUUUUCCGUCAACCGUCCGAAGAGAAGCAGAAAUGCAGCAACCUGGUGGACGGCAACGACAAGCAUUACCAGGUGGAAGGGUAUGGCAGUGACAGAGUGGUUUCCGAGGAUCAGGGCCUGAAUUGGAACGACCGGUUGCAUCUGAAGAGUGGAGCCGGAAGAUGAGAGGAAUUUUGCUAAGUGGCCCAGUCACCCGGAAUCUUUCAGGUUCCCUACUCCCUUACCUUGAGUGAUGUUUUUCACAUUUCUAAUACUGUAUUAGCUUAGUUGUAAAGGAAGGCAGAGUGAGAAUUCCAGAAAAGUAUCAAUGUAAACUGCACUCUGGGUAGUCAAUUGUCUCGUAGCAUUGCGCGUCUCUCUUGCUAGUGGGCCAGUAUUACCAUAUCAUUUCCUAUAAUUAAGUAAGGCUGAAAGUUAACUAAUUUUGAUACAAUUUUCCUUUGUGAAUGCAGACUUUUGAGAACUUCUCUUAAUGACGUAGUUUUCUCGAUGUUGUUUUGUGAAUUUAUUGAUUAAUUACUUUCUUUAUAAGAGAUUCAGUCUGGAGGUGAUUACCCUCUUUUAAAAAAAAAGAUAUUCAGAGACAAUUCAUAGAUAGAAACUUAAUAAAGAGACCAAAAUCUUUGAUUUGACUAAACUAUUAUAGAAUCUUUCUGCAGGAAUAUGCUAAAUGAGUAUGCAUCGAAAACCAAGAAACUAAGAGACAUUGUCUUGCGAUCAAUAGCCAAGCUCUUGGAGAUUGAUGAGGAUUACUUCGUCAACCAGAUAUCAAACAAGGCUUCCGGGUUUGCCAGACUCUACUACUAUCCUCCACGUCCGAGGCCUGACCUAGUUUUGGGCCUCAGGCCUCACUCUGAUGGAAAUCUCCUUACUAUCCUUUUUGUCGACGACGAUGUUGGUGGCUUGCAAGUUCAGAGAGAUGGGAAAUGGUACAAUGUUCCAGCCAAGCCUCACACACUGGUGAUCAACUUGGGAGACUGCCUGGAGGUAGGCACCUACACAUACAAGCUAGAUACGCACUUCCUC